This 62180-nucleotide long non-coding RNA is filed under the name Hordeum vulgare. RNAcentral describes it as "long non-coding RNA (HVUL_LNC006049)". Lineage: Eukaryota; Viridiplantae; Streptophyta; Magnoliopsida; Poales; Poaceae. The record is from RNAcentral.
GUCCAUGUUGCUCAUCUUCACCAUGGACAUGGCGAACUGCCUGAAGAAGGCAGACUGGCUGAGCGCGAACCGCGUGGUCAAGAGCCUCGUGUCGGGGUGGUCGAUGAGGGCCUGGUCGGACUUGAACAAUCCCUGCCUGACGAUGAGGUCGAAGUAGUACUUGUUGUCGAACACGUCGGGCGUGCGCACGUCGAGGGUCUGAUUGACGGUGCCCUGGGGCACGUCCUUGGCGCACUUGGCCCGCAGCCUCCUGGCGAAUAGCGGGUCGAUGAGCGGGUUGAGGUCGAUGUUGGGAGCGAAGCGGUCGGAGAAGACGGGGCAGUGGGCGACGCCGAAGGUGUGCGCGCCGGAGAGCGAGACGAGGUCGGCCACGUCGAGGCUCCGGUUGCCGAAGGAGGAGAUGAGAGUCGGCACGUCGAAGGAGGGCGCCGGCAGGGUGUCCACGAGGUCCUGGGACGCCGGGGCGAGCCCGUCGCGGCGGCCGAGGGCGACGUCGAAGUGUGGCCCGCCAGCCUGCAUCCACCACGUACGUACUCGUUGAUUAAUCGGUUCUGCUCAGGUUGAAAAUAUCGUCUGACAUAUGUACGCUUGUGUGGAGCAUAUGGCCGGCAGGCAUGAAGUGGAGUGUACCUGUACGAGGGCGUCACGGGUGGCGAGGACGGUGAUGUCGGCGCAGGAGACGGUCGGGCCGCAGGCGGCAUGGACGGCGGCGCGGAUGCGCUCGAUGAGGUCGAGAGCAACGGGGCGGAGCGUCUGGUUGGGCACCGCAUUCAGCUCGCUGUUGUUCCCGGUGAGGAGCACCGACGCGUCGCAGCCCUGCGGGAAGCAGUCGUGGAAGAGGAUGCGGAUGAGGGCGGGGGCGACGCCGACGUCGCGCCGGAAGGUCUCCGCCACGAGGUCCCCCACGAUCUUCUCCAGGCCCGGGCACGACGCGGCGUGGAAGCCCCGGGACAGCCCGCCGGCGUCCGCGGCCGAGAUGGUCGACUGGGCGGCGCAGAUCAAGGCUGCCAGGACGAGGACGGUCGCUGUUGCUCUGGACGCCAUUGCUGUCGCCCUACAGAGAUGUAGCUGAGCUUUUUUGCACGAUGAUGGUCGUGUGGCUUGCUCAAGCUAUGGACACUAAACCCUUGUUAUUUAUACACGGCCAAGUGGCUAACCACCCCACAGCUGGGUAGGUACGUACGUGGCUUAACUCGAUAUUAAUUAUCUACAAGGUGGAAAACAUGUGCAAGUCGGUGCCUGAAAUUUCCCAGAACUUUCCGUAUGCCUUGCGCCCAACAACCCCUUCACUGCGUAUGUGAGUAAUUUACGAUUAGGAUGUGUGACAUCGAUCCAAGUGGGACAUAUACAUAAGGGGUCUGGAAUCAUUUUGAAUGACGCCGAGCUGGCUACGUACGACCUACAGGGAUAGGAUCAGCCUGAGCUUCUUAACCCUCAAAAGAGUUAAGUCAUCAAAAUAUUCUCUUGAUCGAUGCGUGCGUUCCCACACAACCAUCUCAAAGCAUCUCCUGGUCCAAAUUUAACGAUCCAGCCCGUGGGGGGGGGGGGGGGGGCGGCCCGGCCCGUGAAAGUCCUCGGCCCCCCUCCCAGGUCGCACGUAGCCUAUGGGGAUAGCUCUGCAAGGCAGAAGCGCACGUAGAAGUAGACUAAUGUAGAUGCGCAGCCAACGUAGGACGUGACCGAUGGACAAGAUCGUGCACAUCACUACCACGCGAAGAUAAUGGGCCCGACCCAGCGCCAUGGGCAUCAUUACCGUGGUUCAGGAAGACCCAAGGUAAAAAACUAAAUUAACGCACAAUGCUCAGUCUUGUUUUUUAGGUCGUCACGCCCAAACUCCCAUCCCAAUCACGGCAAGGCCAUUGCGUGUUUGCCGCAUGUGUUUGCCUCCGAUGCGGGGGCGACACUACGACAGAUGAGCAUCCAAAUAGGGUAGUCAUCUAGAUCUGGUAGGUCAAUUUGCUCCUUUUGAUUCAAUCUUGUGGGUUUUAUGAAUUUUGGGGUUUCUUGAUUUCGGGGAAAAAAUUAUAGUUACAAUGAGAGGAUUUUUGUUUGGCAUUUCAAAAUUAGUAGCCAUGCUGCUAUUGUUCGGUUAUGAAAAUUGGGAAUAUGGGACGAUGUCUACUGCAACAGGAUUAUGAUUAAUCAUUGAAUCGUGUCAAGUUAUUUAUUAACUCGAUAAUCAAUGUUAUGGUUUUGUAGUGCAGCUGCAAAAGCAUUAUGUCCAAGGCAUGUUGAUAGUUCCUUCCGUAUUGAAGAUUCCAACUUAGAUCUCCGGUAUCAAAGUUUUGAUAGAAAAUGAUGUUUUUGGAUUUGGAGAUGAUAUCAAAUAAUAUUGGAUUUUCUGUCGGUACAAUGGGUUUCUCAUAUACCGUAGCUAAAGUUUGACUGUUUGACUCACUAUACAUGUGUUUUAUCUCCAGGGCUUAGAAGAUGUUUCUAAUGCUUCAUAAAAAACAAAGAUUCUUAUCAAGAAGCACAUGAACACGGAGGCACUACAUGAGUUGAUGAUGAUCAAGGUAUGAUUGUUUUUGUUCUACUAUAAGAAGCACAUGCAUCUUUCAAAUAGCUACAUAUUGAUAACAAAUAAUGGAGAAUAAUGUGAGAUACGUAAAUGUCCCAGAGAGGUUAAAAGUUUUGCAACUUAGUAUAUCAAGAAUAAAUUGUUGAAUAAGAUUGAUAUCAAUACCAUCAUCCCUGAGAUUGCAUCUCGGAAUGUUAGACCCAAAUUUUGAGAUACAUAUAUAAAAAUUAUGUGAUUUUAAAUGCAUUUUAAGCGUUACACGACAACAUUUUUUACGUUUAUGAAUUUAUGUUAAAGGGUCCCGGGUUCUAGUUUCGCCCCGGAUCCCCGAAAUCUCAGGACCGGCCCUGGGUCCAAAUUCAAAUCACUAAAAGGUGCUUUUUAUAAAAAGGCUCAACUUCAACAGAUGAUCUAAAACGAAGAUGUAAAAAAAGAGCAUCUCCAAUAGAUGGUCCAAAACAAAGAUGCAAAACCGACCGACGGCCGCACGACUGCUAUUCAGCCACUUUACAGCCGCGGUUUUGCGUUCAAAUAUCACUUCAAAUUCGAAAUAAAGUGCAUCAUCAUCAUAGUUCAAAUCAUAACAAAAGUGCAUCACCAUCAUUAUAGUUUACAAUCCCUCUACCAAAAGUGCAACGUCCCAAUCAAAGUUUUUUGGCGUACAAAUUAAAAUACACAUGAAUAUCAUUCAUGCGGAACAUCAACACCAUCGACGUUGUGAACUGUGGUACGAUCGUCAUCAUACACAUUUCAUCGAACAUGUUGGAGGCGGUGGCCGUCGGCGUGGCCAAAUCUUCCUCCACGUCCGGCGGUGGCAGCGGUGGAGGUGGGGGAUGUUGGGGAACGUUGCAUGGGAAACAAAAAAAUUCUACGCACACGCAAUACCUGUCCAUGGUGAUGAUCAUCUACUAGAAGGGAGAGUGAAUCUACAUACCCUUAUAGAUCGCUAAGCGGAAGCGUAUAUAUUGCGGUUGAUGUAGUGGAACAUCUUCGCAAUCCAAAUCACAGCCCGUCCCACGAUCUCAUCACGAUUCGUCCCGCGAUCCCAUCACGAUCCUUCCCGAUCUAGUGUCGAACGGACGACACCUCCGCGUUCAGCACACGUACAGCUAGAUGAGGAUGUCCACCUUCUUGAUCGAGCAAGAGGGGACGGAGAGGUAGAUGAGUUCUCCAGCACGACGGCGUGGUGGUGGUGGUGGUACUAUUCCAGCACGGAUUCGCCUAAGCACCAUUGAAACUAGAGGAGAAAUAGAUCUAGAGAGAGAGGGCAACACGUGGCUGUUUUCUAUUUUUUUUCUAAAUCCCUCAAAACCCUUAGUAUAUAUAUAGUAGGAAAGGAGGGAGAGUGUUGCGCCCUAGGGCUGCCCUUUCUUCCCUUGCGCAAGGAGGAGAGGAGGAGUCCUCCUUCAAUCCUAGUAGGAGUAGGCUUCCUCCUUCCCAGUUGGAAACUCUUUCCACCUUGUGUUUUUUCCUUCUCAAACCUUAUGGGCCUUAGUGGAAACUUAUUCCAGCCCACUAGGGGCUGGUUUAUCUCUUCCCAUAUCCCAUGAGGCCCCUUGGGGUGUGACACCCCUGCCGAUGGUCUCCGGCACCCCUCACGGCACUCCCGGUACACUACCGAUCAGCUCGAAACUUUUCCGGUGAUCAAAACAUGACUUCCUAUAUAUCAAUCUUUACCUUCGGACCAUUUCAGAGCUGCUCGUGACGUCCUCGAUCUCAUCCAGGACUCCGAACAACCUUUGGUCACCAACACAUAUAACUCAACUAUACCGAACCUUAAGUGUGCAGACCCUGCGGGUUCGAGAACUAUGCAGACAUGACCUGAGACACUCUCCGGUCAAGAACCAAUAGCGGGACCUGGAUGUACAUAUUGGCUCCCACAUAUUCUACGAAGAUCUCUAUUGGUUGAACCUCUAUGUCAAGGAUUCAGUUAAUCCCGUAUGUUGUUCCCUUUGUCCUUCGGUAUGUUACUUGUUGGGUUACGUAGCAUAAAUUCAAAAUUUUCCUACGCAUAUUCAGAUCUUCCUAUGGAGAGACCAGCAACGAGAGAGGGGUAAGAGCAUCUUCAUACCUUUGAAGAUCGCUAAGCGGAAGGGUUGCUAGAACGCGGUUGAUGGAGUCGUACUCGCAGCGAUUCCGAUCUAGUGCCGAACUACGACACCUCCGCGUUCAACACACGUGCAACCUGGUGACGUCUCCCACACCUUGAUCCAGCAAGGAGGAGGGAGAGGUUGGGGAAGAACUCCAGCAGCACGCGGCGUGGUGUCGAUGGAGAGACGAGGUCUCCCGGCAGGACUUCGCCAAGCACCGGUAGAGAGGAGGAGAAAGAAGAGCAGGGCUGCGCCGAGGGAGAGGGAAAAGUCUAUCUCUCAAUGGCAAAAAGUGCCCGAUAUAUAUAGGGGGAGGGGAGAGGGGGUGCCACCCCUAGGGUUCCCACCCUAGGGGGUGCGGCAGCCCCCCAGAUGGGAGGUGCGGCGGCCAGAGGGGGGAGGAGGGGGUGGCGCACCAUCUGGUGGGCCUUAGGCCCACCUGGCUUAGGGUUUGCCCCCCCCCCUUUUCUCUCCCCUGCGCAUUGGGCUGAGUGGGGAGGCGCACCAGCCCACCUAGGGGUUGGUUCCCACCCCCACUUGGCCCACCUUACCUCCCGGGGUCGUUUCCCCCCUUCGGUGGUCCCGGUGGUCCCGGUGGUCCCACUAUGUUACCGGUGAUGCCCGAAACACUUCCGGUAUCCGAAACCAUCCGUCCUAUAUAUCAAUCUUUACCUCCGGACCAUUCCGGAGCUCCUCGUGACGUCCGGGAUCUCAUCCGGGACUCCGAACAUCUUUCGGUAACCUCGUAUAACAAUUCCCUAUAACCCUAGCAUCAUCGAACCUUAAGUGUGUAGACCCUAUGGGUUCGGGAGACAGGCAGACAUGACCGAGACACCUCUCUGGCCAAUAACCAUCAACGGGGUCUGGAUACCCAUGGUGGCUCCCACUUGCUCCACGAUGAUCUCAUCGGAUGAACCAUGAUGUCAAGGAUUCAAUCAAUCCCGUAUACGAUUCCCUUUGUUUGUCGGUAUAGAACUUGCCCGAGAUUCGAUCGUCGGUAUACCUAUACCUUGUUCAAUCUCGUUAACGGUAAGUCUCUUUACUCGUUUCGUAGCACGUCAUCGUGUGACUAACUCCUUAGUCACAUUGAGCUCAUGAUGAUGUUCUACCGAGUGGGCCCAGAGAUACCUCUCCGUCACACGGAGUGACAAAUCCCGAUCUCGAUUCGUACCAACCCAACAGACACUUUCGGAGGUACCCGUAGUGCACCUUUAUAGUCACCCAGUUACGUUGUGACGUUUGAUACACCCAAAGCACUCCUACGGUAUCCGGGAGUUGCACAAUCUCACGGUCGAAGGAAAAGAUACUUGACAUUAGGAAAGCUUUAGCAUAGGAACAAUGCGAUCUAGUGCUAUGCUUAGGAUUGGGUCUUGUCCAUCACAUCAUUCUCCUAAUGAUGUGAUCCCGUUAUCAAUGACAUCUAAUGCCCAUGAUCAGGAAACCAUGAUCAUCUAUUGACUAACGAGCUAGCCAACUAGAGGCUUGCUAGGGACACAUUGUGAUCUAUUUAUUCACACAUGUAUUACUGUUUCUUGUUAAUACAAUUAUAGCAUGAACAAUAGACGAUUAUCAUGAACAAGGAAAUAUGAUAAUAACCAUUUUAUUAUUGCCUCUAGGGCAUAUUUCCAACAUUACUUGCCCGAGAUUCGAUCGUCGGUAUCUUCAUACCUAGUUCAAUCUCGUCAUCGGCAAGUCUCUUUACUCAUUCCGCAAUAAAAGAUCCCGUAACUAACUCCUUAGUCACAUUGCUUGCAAGGCUUGUUGUGAUGUUGUAUUACUGAGUGGGCCCCGAGAUAUCUCUCCGUCACACGGAGUGACAAGUCCCAGUUUUGAUCCAUGCCAACCUAACAGACACCUGGAGAUACCUGUAGAGCACCUUUAUAGUCACCCAGUUACGUUGCGACGUUUGAUAGCCCACAAGGUAUUCCUCUGGUGUCCGGGAGUUGCAUGAUCUCAUGGUCAUAGGAACCGAUACAUUGACAUGGGGAAAACAGUAACAAUAAACUGACACGAUCAUUUGCUACGUUCAUAAUUUUGGGUCUUGUCCAUCACAUCAUUCUCCCAAUGAUGUGAUCCCGUUAUCAAGUGACAACACUUGUCUAUGGUCAGGAAACCUUGACCAUCUUUGAUCAAUGAGCUAGUCAACUAGAGGCUCACUAGGGACAGUGUGUUGUCUAUGUAUCCACACAUGUAUUUGAGUUUCCAAUCAAUACAAUUCCAGCAUGGAUAAUAAACGAUUAUCAUGAAUAAAGAAAUAUAAUAAUAACCAAUUUAUUAUUGCCUCUAGGUCAUAUUUCCAACAGAGGAAAGGCUCCUUGGCUGGUAGAGGACGUGGCCGGCCCUAGCUGCGAGUCAUCGGCCCGAGCCCGCCGGCUGCCUUUGAGUUUUUGCCCAGCCGUGAUUAGCCAACCGUUUUCAUGCCUUCGGCGCCUUCGCAGGAACCGUCGGUGCAGGGGCAACCGGCCGGGGCGGCGGACGGGUACGGUGACAUGGACGAGGCGGCAGAGGGCGAGUUCGCCGCAACCGUGGCGGCCGACGGGCGGGUCGUGGGCUGGCGGUCGCGAUGCGGGAGGUGAAUGAACUAGCGGUUAGGCGUUGGCGUGGGGACGCGGUUUUUACAUCACUUGUAUCUUGUGAUGUAAAUUUGCAUCAUGCAGUUUUCAUUUUUACAUCACCGGGAGGCCGCAAUUGAUUUUUUUACAUAUGGACCGUUUGUUGGAGCAUUGUUUUUUUCCCAAGACGAUCCAAAAUUUAGGUAUUUUUACAUUUGUAUCAUCUAUUGGAGAUGCUCUUACAAAGGGUUAACUCAACAAAAUAUUCUCUUUUGAGGGGUUAACCGCACCUAGCUGGACGCCUGGACUCCUAUCCGGCUAACUCCUUAAGUAUUUGAGGAGUUAAGCGUGAAAAACUUCUCAAGGCUCUCAUUUUUGAGUGGGCGAGACAAGUUAUCGGCAAAACACCCCCGCUUCCCAACUCCUUCUCGCGACGCAUCCGCUAAUCAGUGUCACAGUCAGAGCCAUCGGAUACCCCCAUUUCGACGGGAAUGACAUGGGAGGGCGCUUCCAUGUCAAGGAAGCACUCGGGACAAAUAGCGUGGUGAGAACCAUCGCACCGUCGAAAAAGGCAAGCCGUAAGGGUAUGCUUUCACGAAGACGAGAGGUUCCCCUCCAUUUGCUCCGGCUGGUGGCAAGCGAGUGAGGAAGCCACCAGUGGCCGACAAGACGCUUAACAAAGUGCCGGCAAAGAAAAGGAAGAAGAUGUGCACGUCGACGCCUUCUCUGUCAUAGCCCUUCUCCAGCAUCCCCUAUCACCUCCUCCUUUAGCGCGUUUGCCCGCGGCGGAGGUCUGCCAACUACUCGACAAAAUGUCAAAAUGCAUGUGGGGUAAUUUGUUUUUCUGCUGUGGAUAUUGGUAGUAAUGUUUUGCAGCGGAUAUCUUGGGACGUGCUUGUGGUUGUUUAUUUUAGUGUGGAGGAGCAGUUGCAAAUUUCAUGUCUCAAUUGGAUUCAUCACACAUAAUCAGCCUUGACGAUCUAGAUUACGAUGGUCCAAGGUAUGCUCAAGAAACAAGAGAGGGAGGAGGAUGAUCAAAAAGUGAAAGAGGUCAAUGAUCCCGUGGAGCCACAAUAAAGCAUUAUGAAGACGAUAUAGAGGGCAGUAGGGCGUUCAGUGGCACCAUACUAGUUGAGUCUCAUCCAAUUUCGUAUUCUAACCCUUCUUUUGACAUGAUUAACAUUUAUGAACAAUACGCGUGUGAGAUUCUUUCCUCUAAAUGGACAUACAAAGAACGUUGCAAUAAUAAUUUGCACUAAAAGAUACUAUAAAAUCAGGAACUGAAGAUGACAGAUUCCAACAAAAGUGUACCCCUUCUUGAAUAUAUAUAGUAACACUAUUCAUCAUCGAGGGUGUAGAAUGAGUUAUUCUUCAUCCGAAGUAAUCUUACGGUUGUUUCAUAAAUAAUUUUUUUUUUACAAAUAGUUAUAUGCAUAUUGUUUCAUUAUAUAAAAUUUGGCAUAAGAAAACAAUUAUAUAUGUCAGAAGACCAGAAAAAAUGCAUUUUAUGUGUAUUUUACACUAUAUUUUUACGUUUGUAACUUUAAAUAGCGUAAAAUAUUUUUAUGACGAUUUAAUAUUUUCUUUAGUUCCUUUUUUGGUAAAAAGUAAGAAAAAAAAGUACGAACAGUAAAAAUACGGUGCAUUGAUGGUAAAAUAGAGGGGACGAAGAAUAACUAUUCCUCACCUAGGAUGACGAAUAGCGCGACUAUUCGUCACAUCAAUGCACCAUAAUUUUAUGUUCUGUUUUUUCUUCAUACGUAAAAAGAGACCGUAACAAGAUAUAUAGUCAUUAUAAAAAAUAUUUUAUGUCACCUAAAAUUACAAACAUAAAAACAUAGUGUAAAAUAUACAUGAAAUGUGAUUUUUUGAUCUUAUGACCUCUAUUUUUAAUUUUUUACAUCAAAUUUUACGUAAUGGAUCAACAUUAAUGAAACUAUUGGUAUUACAAAUGUAAUAUAUGUAUGAAACGGUCGUAAGAUUACCUGGGUGAGGAAUAACUUAUUUUGCACCCUCGGUGAAUCAUUAUUCAGGAUGCAGAAUAGUUUAUUCUUCAUCCGAGAUAUUUGUACGAUCAAUUUACUAAUAAAUUAAGUUUCAAAUACAAAUAAUUAAAUUUAUAUUGAAUCACUAUGUAAAAUUUGACAAAAUCAAAACAAAAGUAUAGGUCACAAGACUAGAAAAAUUUGAAUUUAUUGUAUUUUUUGCACUAUUUUUGUAUGUUCGUAAUUUUACGUGACAUAAAAUAUUUUUACGUUGAUUAUAUUUUUUUUACUGUCUCUUUUUAUGUAUAAAAUAAGACAAAAUUUACGGAACGUAAAAUUACGGUGCAUUGAUGUUAAAAUUAUGGUGAAUUGAUGUUAAAAUUAUAUAUAUACUAGAUUCAUGCAUGUCAGUAAAAUUUAGCGGCACCGUUCUCGUCGUCACCUAUAUUGUUAAGUGGACUAGUUGGACCAUCGCAAUGACGUGUUGGGUCACCCUUGACACGUGUCAGUGGCAUCUCGAACAUGUUGAGAUAUUCGCCUGCUGUCAGUCGGUGGCCACCACCACUCGAGAACAUUUGUGGCGGGUGUCGAGGGCUUAAGUGAUGUGGUCGUGUGGCAAUAGUUUUUUUUAUAGUGAAGUGAGGCGAUCACACACAGGAAAGAGUGGGGUGCAUGUGGGGGAGAAGACGAUAUGGCAACUAUUGAGUUUAGUCCAUAUUGAUUGUGGGAGCAGGCAUAACAGAAUUUAUAAGGGUGUGGGUGUCCCCUCCUAUCACGCAAGCUUUCUUUUUAAACGAAGGGUCCAAGCCCUGAAUUAAGUCUGUGUUCCUCUCUGGUUGGGCCUGGUUACCGCGCUGAGACGCUCGUGGAGGAUGUGGGUCAUGGUAGUUUGGUGGUUCAGAGGAAGAGGAUGAACAAUAAUGAUUUUUGAGGUUGAAGAAGAUGAUCUGGCCAUCCGUAUUGAAUCCAACGGCUCACAACGAUUCGACUGGCCCAAAUUCGAUUUUCGGUCACGUGACAUCUAUCGAUUCCCAUCAUUUUGCACUAAGUGAUGGACUAUGAUUUGCUCAACCAGUCCACUAAACCCAUGCAAUUUAUACACGGCUAGUUACUUUCAAGCCGGCUUAGGUAGCUAGACAUAUUUUUUCUUGUAAUAAAGGAAUACAUUAAUGUCACUACAAGAAAUAUGCCAACUUGUGACAUUCUCUUGGAGACCGUGAAUGAAUUGGUCGUAAGUCUACGACCAUUUUGAUCGAAUUGGUCAUAAGCUAUUUUAGAGGGUUCAAACCCUCAACCAUAACGACCAUUUUUAGGGGAAAGGUCGCAAUUGCCUGGCAUGAAAUGGUCGUAAAGCAGACAACUAGGAUUGACAACCUUAUUUUUAGCAGAAGACGACCAAUCUAGAUGGCCAUAACCAUGUAAAUUGCGGUGUGUUGCUAUGACCGGGCGCCACCUCAUCAAUUUCGCUUGUGUGUCAUGUAUAUGUGUCAUGUUUAUGUGUUAAUUUACGCUUACUUGUCUAGAUCAAAUAUACCAAUGAUGGGUGGAACCCAUGCAUUGACUGGUUAACCUACACCUCAGACCCACCACCACCUUACACGCUGGACCCAGUACAUCUCGGACCCAACACCAACAUACACGUCGGACCCACCCUAUCAUGGGUCCCACCAACCUGACAUGAAAGACCCACCAUUGAACUGACUUGUUGCCCCACCACGGAUGUGACAUGGAGGCUAAACCGGAGAUAGUAGAAAAAUAGGAAAGAAAUAUGCGUUGAUGGGAUUCGAACCCGUGACGCCCUAAGAGCAAGUUCAGGAGUUCCCCCAUACCUUCCCUGGUCAUUUUUUUAAGGGAGAAAGGCAAAAAAACUGCCUCCAACAGUGCCCCGAUCUACUCCGGAUAUUUUGGCCUCCCCGAAAACGUUUCCUCUCUCCCCUCUAUCUAGGGGAACGAGGACCUCCCCGAUCCCCUCCCCGACAUGCCGAGCGAAGCAACUGCCGGCUCCGAAAAGCUCCCUCCCGCCACCACCCCGCCGCCACCACCGCAUUGCAGGUUCGUUCCCUCCUUUGUUUUCUCUCAGAUCUCGGCAAAAAAUAAUAAUCUAGGCUAGGGAGUAAUGGUGAUGUUGGAGAGUGAUGCAGGGGUGCGCAGUCGCCGUGUGAGGAUGGGGAGGCGCUGGAAGGGAGGAGCUGGGCGUUGUUGCUAGAGAUUUGGGCGCUGCUGCUUGCUAGAGUUUUUGCUACCGCUUUGCUAGAGAGAACAGAGAGAGAGAGAGCAGAGAUAUGAGAGAUUGGGAGAUGCACUGUUUGCUGAACAUUAAUUCAGAUAUACAAUGCUUCUUUUUAUAUAUAGAUCAGAGAGAUAACUUGUUGAUUGCUAUAGAUCAGUGAGCUAUUGUACUGCUGAUUGCUGCACAUUUAGAUAUAGAUCACAGAGAUUGCUUGCUACUGAUUUCGGUUGCUAUUGCUAGUAAUUUGCUAGUGAUUGCUGCUGCUAUUUGCUUUCAUUUGUAUUUGCUACUGAUUGCUCCAAGUUAUUUGCUACUCGGAGAUAAAUUUACAUAUCAAUUUGCGAUUGCUUGCUGCAAGUUAUUUCCUACUAGGAGAUGACAUUUAAAUAGCUAUUUGUGACUGCUUGCUGCUAGUUAUUUUCUACUGGUUGUUGAACAUCUAUAUGAUGUAUGGUUUGUUUGUUUUGUUUCAUAUUUUCAUAAUGGACGGUCAGAGUUAUUUGAUCUUUUGCAAAGUGAUGUCGGCUUGAAUGAUUUGCACUGGACUGAAGAAGAACAAAUCGACCUCGAAAAGAAUGAAGAAAAACAAAUUGAUCUUGAAGGGCCUAAAUAAACUAGUCGUUGGUAGUUAUGAAAUAUUCUUAAAAUAUAGAAUAAGGGAGAUGUUUAGGGGAACUAGUGGAGUUGAGCAAUCUUUAGGGGAGAAUCUUUGUAAGUUAGUCCCCUGUUUUGAGAUAUAGGGGAGAAAUUUUUGGGAAACUGUUGGACUUCCCCUAAGAAAACACGGUGGUUUCUUACCACCACGCCACCACCCAAGUAACGAUACGAAACUCCACUCGCUACUUUUAUACGAAACAGUCGCUUCCUGGGCUUGGGCCUAAAUCAUGAGAGAUCUCCCCUUCGCUCCUUCUUUUUCCCCUUUAGCAUUAUGGUCCAUCGAGUGGCACUAUAACAAAUGUGAUAAUCUAUGAUGCACAUUCUGUGACGAUUCAAUGUAAAAACGUGAGGGAAUCAUCUAAAUUUCAAAAAAUAUGACGUUUUUUCACAGAAUCGUCACAAAAUGAGCGUCUUAGAUUAUCGCAUUUGUUGUAGUGUGGGCCAACGGCCCAUGGCCUAUUAGAAGAUCUUUUCUCGUGGGAAAUGUGUGUUUUUUUGUUUUUUUUCUUCUUUACAAUAUUUCGUGAUUUCAGAAAAUCUCCACACAUUUAAAAAAUUUAUUUUGGAAAAAUGCUCGUGAAAUCAUGAAAUGUUCGUCCAUUAAAUAUGUUCAUGAUUUUUGAAAAAUUUGCGUAUUGAAAUAAUGUUCACGGAUUUGACAAACAAAUGGGAAUUCAAAAAAUCAUCACAAUUUUUUCAUAAAAUGUUCAUUGACGUGAAGGUUUAGAUUUUUUUUAUUUUCUUAUUUUAUACCGAUUUUAAAACCAGGUCACAUAUAAUGAUAGAAUACAAAGGCUUUCCAUAUUUUUUGACACAAUGCAAAUGUUCCUUUUUUACAUGGAACCAUUUGGAAAUUUGUACAUGAAAUGUGGUCUAAUAAUUUCGAAAAUGUUCCGGUAUAGUUUUACAACAAAUAUUUGGUAGUUUCUUCACAAAAAGAACUCAUUUUGUGCACUUAAAAAAUCAAAAUUCCCUUUGGCAACAUUGUUUGCCAUUGCAAGAUGCACCCUUGAAACACAUAAAACUUCACACAACAUAGUUCAUUUCUGAGAAGACUUUUAAAAGGUAUUUAUCGUAGUCCAAAUUUUUUAUUUCUCCUCAAAACAAGAUCACAUAUGAUGACACAAUGCGAAGGUUUCCAAUUAUUUUAACUCUUUUUUCUAAUUUCUUAUGUCCGUUUUAAAAUGCGGUCAAAACGACGGGCAUGAUCGUUCGUAGCUAGGGGUUGAAUCUUGGAAAAACUUUUGGUGUCUUUGAUAAAACCUAUAGUUAUGUACCUAUAGUUCAAAGUUGACCCACUUCUUGCAGAAUCGACCGAAAUUUGUAGUUCAAACUUGACCCGCUUCUUGCUGAAUCUAUCGAAAUUUGUCUUUUUCAUGAGAAGUGACUAAAAAAACUCACUUUAGUCACUCGAAUAAUGCAAAAUGAAUUUACCGUCCAAAGAAAAUGAAAACUUUCUUAGGCAACAUUGUUUGCCAUUCCAAAAUGCACGAUAUUAGAUCAUUUGAAUAAACUAUACAUGAAUGUGGCCAUAAGAUUGAUCAUUUGACUUCAAAGCCAUGAAUCUUCAUACAUGAUAACUCAUUUUUUAGAACACAUUUAAAAAAUAUUUACCUUAUUAUAAUUUUAUUAUUUUUCCUAAUAACUUGGUCACGUAUAAUUAGACAAUGCGAAGGUUUUUCAAUUUUUUGAUUUGUUUUUGAAUUUUUCAAGCCCAUUUCAAAAUGUAGUCAAAACGUCGGGCACGAUCGUUCCUAUCUAGUGGUUGAAUCUUGAAAAACUUCUAAUGUUUCUAUGGUUAAAUAGAUACUUGUUUACCUAGAAAUGAUUUUUGGAAAAAAUAAAGAACAAACUAUGACUCAGCCGCCGUUCAAACUUGACCCGCUUUUUACUAAAUUGGCCGAAAUUUAUCCUUUUCACAAGAUGUGGCUUAAAACUUUUGACACUCAACCAUUUGGUCAAUUGUACAUUAAAAAUGUCCUAAUAUUUUAAAAAAUUGAUUUGGUCCAAAAUUGCCACAAUUAUAUGCUAGACCCUUCAUAAAAAACUCAUUUUAGUCACUUGAAAAAUGGAAAAUAAACUGUUCGUUCAAAAAAAAUAGAAAACUUCGUUACACAACAUUGUUUGCCAUUACAAAAUGCACCAUUUUGCACAAUAUUAGAUCAUUUGAACAAGUUAUGCCAUGAAUGUGGCCGUAAGAUUGAUCAUUUGGUUUGAAAGCCUUGAAUCUUCACAAAUGGUAACUCAUUUCCGAGAAUACUUUUUUUAAAAUAAUUUUCGUAUUAUAAUUUUAUUGUUUUUCCUCGUAACUUGGUCACAUUUAAUGACACAAUGGGAAGGUUUUCCAAUUUUUUUAUUUUUUUUAAAUUUUCAUGCCCGUUUCAAAAUGCAGUCAAAACAACGGGCAUGACCGUUCCUAUCUAGUGGUUGAAUCUUGGAAAAGUUUUGAUGUUUCUCUCAUUAAAUAUAUACUUAUGUAUCUAGAAAUGAUUUUUGAAAAAAAUAAAGAGCAAACUACGAGGCAACUGCAGUUCGAAUUUGUCGCGCUUCCAACUAAAUCAGCGGAAAUUUGUCUUUUUCACGAGAGUUGAUCAAAAGUUUUGACACUCAACCAUUUGGUCAAUUGUACAUUAAAUAUGGCCUAAGAUUUUAUUAAAUUGAUUUAGUCCAAAUUUGCAACAAAUAUUUGUUAGGUUCUCCAGAAAAGAACUUCAUUUUGGGCACUUGAAAAAUGGACGAGAGGUGGACGAAAAACUUUUAAGAAGGAAGUAUUUGGUCAAUUUGUACAUAAAACACGGUCGAAUAUUUUUUAAAAUUGUUGCGGUCCAAUUUUUUAACUAAUAUUUGAUAGGUUAUUCACAUAGGUGAAAACAAAAAAGAGAAAGACAAAGAAAGAAAACACAUUUACAUAAGCUUAAUUCUCGUUGGUGGAGAUGUUUGUGCCAUGGAUUGAUGACAUGGCACACAUCCAUCCAUAUAUCCAUCCACCCGCAGCCCAAACCCUAACUCCAAUACUCCCAUCGGUCCCCUCCCCCUCUCCCCCGAUUCAGAUCCAGUCCUCGCUGCCGCCACCUACCUCAAGCCGAUCCUGUCGUCCAUGCCCGCGCGCCAUCACCCGCUCCGCGACCACCACCCGCUCCUCCUUGCCUCCCGGAGGACGCAGACCCCACGUCGCUCUUCCUCCGCCCGCCAACCCACCCCGUCCUGGAGGCCUCACUAGCUUCCUUCCGUCGCAGGGUCACCGCGCUCAUCGCGCCCUCGGUACGCACCUCCACCGCCAUCUUUGCUGGCUCCUCGCCUCCGCCUCCGCCCCCGCUAAUUCCCCGCCCAGCGGCUACCCGGUGGCGCUCCACCUCCUUCGUGCGCCACUCGAUGAGCUCGAGGCCCUGUGGCUAUGCCAUGUUUGGGACAGGUGCCCGUUCCAGUACGUGGUCGGGAACGAGCACUGGAAGGACCUGGUGGUCGCCAUUCGGGACAGUGUACUCAUCGCACGGCCGAAGGCGGAGGCCGUCGUGGACAUGGUCACCACCAUCGAUUGCGAGCUGGAGUCCUGGGCCUUCCCCUCAUCAUCCUCGGCGGCGACAUGUGGAUGAGCCACCGGACGAUAAGCAGCAGAUCAUGUUUGCGCUGACCUCCAUCAAGGGUGUGGGCCGCCACUUCUCCAACAUCAUCUGCAAGAAUGCCGAGAUCGACAUGAACAAGAGGUGAGGAACCGUCCCCCUUUCUCGCCAGAUCUCGUCGUGGUGGGUGGGGGAUGAGUCGUGCACUGUCUUCUGUGUGGUGUGCGGGGCUGAAAAGCUUUCCGCUAAGGAGAUGGUUGUAUGAUGGCGGUGGUGCACAAUUCACGUCAGUUCAAGGUGUUGGACUGGUUCCUGAACAGGAAGAAGGACUAAAAGAAUGGGAGUUUCUCCCAGUUCAUCUCCAAAGCCACCGAAUUGAAGCUCAGGGAUGACCUUGAGAGGCUCAAGAAGAUAACGUAUAAACUCGUCCCCCCUUGUUUGUUUUUGCUUCAUACUGUUGGCUGAUUGAUCGGUGAUUAGGUGCUAGGUUCAACUUGUUAUGAUCCUGUUAACUAACAUCUUGCACAUGCUUUAGUGGUAGAAGUAGUUGAUAUCUCAUCCAAUACUUUACAACCUAGUCUUGGGAUUCACAUAGUGGGUUUCUGGAAGGAGAUCUCCAAACAUUAGAAUGCCUGAAAUGCGUUUAUUCUGUUGUUCUUGAUGGGCGUAGUGUUGUUCUGGUAGGAUGUACUAACUUCAUGUGCUUUAUUCUAUACUCGUUUAUACACACAACAAUGUGGCUAGAGUUUGAUUUUCAGUCGGUAUAGUCUGCUUAUGUGAUACGUCUCCAACGUAUGCAUAAUUUUUGAUGGUUCCAUGCUAUUAUCUUGUCAUCUUUGGAUGUUUUGUAUGCAUGAAUAUGCUAUUUUAUAUCUUUUUUGGGACUAACCUAUUAACUUAGUGCCAAGUGCCAGUUCUUGUGUUUUCUGUGUUUUGACCUUUUUGAGAGGAGAAUAUUGAACGGAGUCCAAAUGGAAUAAAACCUGCGGAAUGAUUUUUUCCAUAAUAGAAGACAUGCAGGAGACUUGAGAACAAAGGAAUGGGAGCUCGGAGGAUGUCACAAGCCACCCAGGCCCGACCUAGGGGGGGCCUAGCAGGCUUGUGGGCCCCCUGUGGCUCCCCUGCCCUAGUUCUUCCGCCUAUAGAUUCCUUAAAAAUCUGAAACCACGGAAGAGAGCCACGAAAAUACUUUUCCGCCGCCGCAAUCUUCUGUCUUCGCAAGAUCCCAUCCGGGGCACGUUCUGGUGCCCUGUAGGAGGGGGGAUUCGAACACGGAGGGCUUCUUCAUCAACACCAUUGCCUCUCCGAUGAUGCGUGAGUAGUUCACCACAGACCUUUGGGUCCAUAGCUAGUAGCUAGAUGGCUUCUUCUCUCUCUUGGAUCUUCAAUACAAAGUUCUCCAUGAUCUUCAUGGAGAUCUAUCCGAUGUAAUCUUAUUUUGCGGUGUGUUUGUCGAGAUCCGAUGAAUUGUGGAUUUAUGAUCAGAUUAUCUAUGAAUGUUAUUUGAGUCUCCUCUGAUCUCUUAUAUGCAUGAUUUUGUAUCCUUGUAAUUCUCUUCGAGUUGUGGGUUUAGUUUGGCCAACUUGAUCUAUAGUUCCUGCAAUGGGAGAACUGCUUGGUUUUGGGUUCAUACCGUGCGGUGAUCUCACCCAGUGACAGAAGGGGUAGCGAGGCACAUAUCGUGUUGUUGCCAUCAAGGGUAAAAUAUGGGGUUUAUAUCUAUUGCAUGAAUUUAUCCCUCUACAUCAUGUCAUCUUGCUUAAGGCGUUACUCCGUUUGUCAUGAACUUAAUACACUAGAUGCAUGCUGGAUAGUGGUUGAUGUGUGGAGUAAUAAUAGUAGAUGCAGAAAGUAUCGGUCUACUUGUCUCGGACAUGAUGCCUAUAUGUAUGAUCAUUGCCUUAGAUAUCAUCAUGACUUUGCGCGGUUCUAUCAAUUGCUCGAUAGUAAUUCGUUCACCCACCGUAAUACUUGCUAUCAUGAGAGAAGCCUCUAGUGAACACUAUGGCCCCCGGGUCUACUUCACAUCAUAUUUUCAGCUUUACACUUUUAGUUUGUUGCACUUUCCACCUUCAGAUCUCACCUUCUAGUUAACCGUGAAGGGAUUGACAACCCCUUUGUAGCGUUGGGUGCAAGUUUGCUUGUUUUUGCGCAGGUACUUUGGAGACUUGCCUUGAUAGUCCUACUGGAUUGAUACCUUGGUUCUCAAACUGAGGGAAAUACUUACUGCUACUGCGCUGCAUAACCCUUUACUCUUCAAGGGAAAAACCAACGCAAGAUCAAGAGGUAGCAUUAUGUUACUCUUUGGUUGGAGGCAAUUAGAAUGUUGUAGGUUUAGUAUGAACGUGUCUUAAUCCAUUGGAUGCCCUUGGCUAGUUUAGUUGGUAUCUAAUCUAAAAUAAUUUAUUUUCCCAUUUUUUGUUUCCUUGCUAGACAUGUCAUGGUACAAGUGCCGGUGCCGAUGUUUACUACCCCCGCCGUAAAGAAAUAUAAGAGCGUUUAGAUCACUACUUUAGUGAUCUAAAUUCUCUUAUAUUUCUUUACACAGGGAGUACAUGGUAUUAUUGUUAGCUAUAUAUAUACCUCAUACGUCUCCAUCGUAUCUUCUUUUCCAAACUCUUUUGCCCUUGUUUUGGACUCUAAUUAGCAUGAUUUGAGUGGAUCUAACCCGGACUAACGAUGUUUUCACCACAACUGCCAUGGUGUUGUUUUUGUGUAAAAAUAAAAGUUCUCGCAAUGACCGGGAAACUUAUGAGGAUUUUUUGUGGAAUAUAUAAAAAAUAUUGGCGGAAGAAUUACCUGAAGACAUGGAGCCAGGGGCCCACAAGCCCAGGAGGUGCACCCCCCUAGGGCGGGCCUGGCAGGCUUGUGGGGCCCACGUAGCUCCGCAGCCUCCAACUCCAACUCUAUAAAGUCUCUCUUGCCUAGGAAAAAUUAAGAGAGAAGAGUUCAUCGCGUUUCACGACACGGGGCCGCCGCCACCACCUGUUCUUCCUCGGGAGGGCAGAUCUGGAGUCCGAUCUGGGCUCCGGAGAGGGGAAAUCGACGUCGUCGUCAUCGCCAACCAUCCUUCAUCGCCAAUUCCAUGACGCUCUUCACCGUUCGUGAGUAAUCUCAUCAUAGGCUUGCUGGAUGGUGAUGGGUUGGAUGAGAUCUAUCAUGUAAUCGAGUUAGUUUUGAUGGGGUUUGAUCCCUAGUAUCCACUAUGUUCUAAGAUUGAUGUUGCUACUACUUUGCUAUGCUUAAUGCUUGUCACUAGGGCCCGAGUGCCAUGAUUUCAGAUCUGAACCUAUUAUGUUUUCAUCAAUAUAUGUGUGUUCUUGAUCCUAUAUUGCAAGUUGUAGUCACCUACUAUGUGUUAUGACCCGACAACCCCGGAGCGACAAUAGCCGGAACCACUUCCGGAGAUGGCCAUAGUAUGAGGAGUUCAUGUAUUCACUAUGUGCUAAUGCUUUGUUCCGGUUCUCUAUUAAAAGGAGACCUUAAUAUCCCUUAGUUUCCGUUAGUACACCGCUGCCACGGGAGGGAUGGACAAAAGAUGUCAUGCAAGUUCUUUUCCAUAAGCACGUAUGACUAAAUACAGAAUACAUGCCUACAUUACAUUGAUGAACUGGAGCUAGUUACAUAUCACCCUAUGUUAUAACUAUUACAUGAUGAAUGUCAUCCGACAUAAUUAUCCAUCACCGAUCCAAUACCUACGAGCUUUUCCUAUACCGGUCCAUGCUAAAUUACUUUACCGCUACUGCUGUCACUACGGCUGCUGUUACUGCUGCUACCGUUACUAUCACACUACUUUUCUACUAAAACUUUGCUGCAGAUACUAAGUCUUGCAGGUCUGGUUGAAUUGACAACUCAACUGCUAAUACUCAAGAAUAUUCUUUGGCUUCCCUUGUGUCUAAUCAAUAAAUUUGGGUUGAAUACUGUACCCUCGAAAAUUGUUGCGAUCCCCUAUACUUGUGGGUUAUCAAGACCUUUUUGUGGCACCGUCGCCGGGGAGCAUAGCUCUAUUCUCUGAGUCACUUGGGAUUUACGUCUGUUGAUCACUAUGAGGAAUCCGAGAGAUCCAAAAACUAAAGUCUUGCCCUCAACUACGAGGACAGGUAAGGAACUGCCAUCUAGCUCUGCACUUGAUUCACCUUCAGUUAUGAGUAAAUUUGCGACACCACCAACUAUUGGUAAUUCUGAUAUGUCGCAUGUGCUUGAUGAUGCUGCUUCUGCUAUCCAUGAUUCUUAUGAUGAUGCUUUGCUUGAUAAUGAGAUGACACUAGGUGCAUUUCUUGAUGCACAAAUUGCUAGAGUUACUGAUGAAUGUGAUGAUACUUCUGAAACUGAUGAAAUUAUUGAAGUGGAACCUGCUGUUACACCUGUUAGACCUAGCUCUCCCAGAUAUGAAUUGCCUGAUAUACCUAAGGGUUAUGUUAUGGAGGGAGAGGUAGCUGAAGGCUUUCUUGCUUGUAAGGAUAGCUAUGAUCUUGAGAAUUUAUUACGUAAGUGGAAAGAAAAAUCUCUGAAUGCUUGAAUGAAAUAUGAUCCUAAGUUUGCUACUUCGCCCAUCUUUGUUACUGAUAAGGAUUAUGAAUUCUCUGUUAAUCACUUUGGUUGAAUCUGAUCCUUUUCAUGGUUAUGAGUCUGAAACGGUUGUAGCACAUCUUAGCAAACUGAAUGAUAUAGCCACCCUAUUCACGAAUGAGGAAAAAAAGUUCUCCAUUACUAUAUCCUUAAGUUGUUUCCUUUCUCACUAAAGGGUGAUGCUAAAACUUGGUUUACUUCUCUUUCUCCUGGUUGUGUGCGUAGUCCCCAGGAUAUGAUAUACUACUUCUCUGAGAAAUAUUUUCCUGCCCAUAAGAAACAAGCUGCCUUAAAGGAUAUAUAUAACUUUGUGCAAGUUGAAGAAGAGAGUCUCCCACAAGCUUGGGGGGGGGGGCUUGUCCAGUUACUGAAUGCUUUGCCUGAUCACCCUCUUGAGAAAAAUGAAAUACUUGAUAUCUUUUAUAAUGGACUAACCGAUGCUUCUAGGGAUCACCUAGAUAGUUGUGUUGGUUGUGUUUUCAGGGAAAGAACUAUGGAACAAGCUGAAAUUCUAUUGAAUAAUAGCUUGAGCAAUGAUAAUGCUUGGACUAUUCCCGAACCACCUCCGAAGCCAAGAGGUAUUCUAUUCCUCAGUCCUGAAGAUAUGCAAGAAGCCAAGAAAUCUAUGCAAGAGAAAGGUAUUAAAUCUGAAGAUGUUAAGAAACUACCACCUAUUGAAGAAAUACAUGGUCUUGAUAACCCGACACAGGUAGUAGAGGUAAAUUCUCUUCGUAGAUUCAAUGAGAGUGAUAUUCCAUAUGAUAAACCUGCUAGCUUAUGCUUAGAUGAAUUUGAUAACUUUGUUGUCAAACAACAAAGUUUUAAUGAUUAUGUUAGCAGACAAUUGAAACAAAAUGCUCGUAUGAUUAAUCAUAUAAGUGCUUGUGUGGAUAGAAAUGUCAAUGAUCUUAAGCUUUUGGGAAAACAUGCUUCUAUGGUCACUACUCAAGUAGAACAAGUACUUAAGGCUCAAAAUGACUUGCUUAAUGAGUUGAAUGACAAUUCUGUUAGAGUUGUCACUAGAGGUUGUAGAAUGACUCAGGAACCUUUGUAGCCUGAGGGCCAUCCUAAGAGAAUUGAACAAGAUUCUCAAGGAGUUAACACUCAUGCACCUAGUCAUCCUGGUAACAGGAAGAAAAUAAAGAUGAUAGGAACUUGCAUGCUAGCAAACCUGUUGCCGUUACACCCGAGAAUCCAAAUGAUGUCUCUAUUUGUGAUGCCGAAACACAAUCUGGUGAUGAACAUGAGCCUAGUGAUAAUAUUGAUAAUGGUGUUCAUGUUGAUACUCAACCUAGUAAUGAUAAGGAUGUGGAGAUUGAACCUGUUGUUGAUCUUGAUAACCCACAACCUAAGAACAAGCUAUAUGAUAAGAACGACUUUAUUGCUAGGAAGCAUGGUAAAGAAAGAGAACCAUGGGUUCAGAAACCCAUGCCCUUUCCUCCCAAACCAUCCAAGAAAAAGGAUGAUGAGGAUUUUGAGUGCUUUUUUGAAAUGAUUAGACCUGUCUUUUUGCAAAUGUGUUUGGCUGAUAUGCUUAAAAUGUCUCCUUAUGCUAAGUACAUGAAAGAUAUCGUGACUAAUAAAAGGAAGAUACCUGAGGUUGAGAUUUCCACCAUGCUUGCUAAUUACACCUUCAAGGGUGGGACUCCUAAGAAACUAGGUGAUCCCGGAGUGCCCACUAUACCUUGCUCCAAUAAAGGAAAUUAUGUUAGAACUGCUUUAUGCGACCUUGGAGCCGGUGUUAGUGUUAUGCCUCUCUCUUUAUAUCGCAGACUUGAAUUGGAUAAGUUGACACCUACUGAAAUGUCUUUGCAAAUGGACGACAAAUCAACUGGUUUUCCUAUCGGCAUUUGCGAGGAUGUGCUUGUUGUGGUUGCGAACGUUACUAUCUUAACGGACUGUGUUAUUCUGGAUAUUCCCGAGGAUGAUGCCAUGUCGGUCAUCCUUGGAAGAUCCUUUCUAAACACUGCAGGGGCUGUUAUUAAUUGCAACAAAGGCAAUGUCACUUUCCAUGUUAAUGGUAAUGAGCACAUGGUGCACUUUCCGAAGAAACAAUAUCGAGUUCAUUUCAUCAAUGCUAUUGAAAAAUCUUCAUCCAUUAUUAUUGGAGGCUUUGAUUGCCCUAUACCUACUAUCAAGAUGAAAUAUGAUUUACUUGUUGGGGAUAUGCACAUCCCCGUUGAGGUAACCUAGUGAUUAUUCGAAAAUUCUCCGUUUUUAUGUGUUUCGAAAAAAGUUUGUCAAGGAGACUUGAUCAACCUCAUUGACGGAUUUCUGUUGAUGACCAUGAGAUGGAUGAAUCUAGGAGUCACAACCUUCUGUUCCCAACUUUUACUUUCUGUUGUUUAGAAGAAAAAUAAUAAUUUUAGCUUUAUUUUCCUAUUUUCCGCGUUUUCCGUUCAAUAGAAAAGUGACCCGAAAAUAAAAGUUCUCCAAAUGCCCUGAAAUUCAAGUAUGAUUUUUUCUGGAAUAUUUGAAAAUUUCUGAGAUAGAUAACUAGUCACGGGGAUGCACCAGUGGGCCACAAGCCCAGGAGGCGCGCCCACCCCCCUGGGCGCGCCUGGCAGGCUUGUGGGUCCCACAUGACCCCCCUCCACUUAUUCCAGCUCCCAUCUCCUUCGUCUACCUCCAGAAAAAUUAUUCCACUGCUCAAACCCGUGUUCUUGCUCUUUGUGCUGCAUUUUUCAAUCUCCUUGUGCAAAGCUCCAUACACCAAACUGUUUUGGGGAAUUUUUCCUUGGUAUGUGACUCCUCCAUCGAUCCAAUUAGUUUUUGUUCUAGUGCUUUAUUCGUUGCAUAUUUUUGCUGCCUUGGUGACCCCGUUCUUGAGCUUUGCAUGUUAAUUUUAGUUGGUCCCAAGUAGUUUUGAUGCAUGAUAUGGCCUCUAGGAACUUGUAGGAGUAGUUGCUAUGAGUUUUGUUGAGCCUUGUUCACUUUUCUUUUGAGUCACUAAAAAUUUCAAAAAAAGAAGAUGUUCACGAAAAACUAUCAUGGUGGUUCCUCAAGCAAAAGGGGUCCCCGUCUCACGAUUCGGGAGCCCGAUCCUUAUCAGCCGAGGAACGCACAGGUGCAACCAUGUGAAUGGCCUUCCGAUGACUUUAUGAUUGAUGCAGGUUUCAAGGACGAGUUUGAUACUUUUGUUCACAACGCCGGGCUCAAAGAAUUCAUCUCCAAUAAAUGUGAACAGUAUACUACACUCACCGCCUCUUUUGUUCGUAGAUUCAAAUUUUCAGUUGGCCGUGACACAUCCAUACUGUUUGAUCUUUAUGAAAAAUCGUAUACCAUGGAUUUAGAGGAUUUUAAUAGAAUUUGCAAGAUACUUGAUUGGGGUAGUCCCAAUGACCCUCCUAAAUAUUUGGUUAGAGAUUUUAUUUCUAGUAUAAUUGUUGGAGAAACUAGAGAUAUUACGCAGGCUACCAUGGGGAGCAUUCAUUUUCCUGCCUUACAUUAUUUUGCCCUCUUCAUAGGUAUAUGCAUUAACGGCAAGCAUGAGCAUAGUCACCUCUGCGCACCUAACCUUAGUAUUCUUAAGAGCGCAGUAACGAGUGAUAGAAGUUUCAACAUGGGAGCUAUAAUUGCGAGGAGGCUAAAUAGUAAUGCUAAUGAAGGGGAUUUCUUUGGUGGGAUCUAUGCCACUCGCAUAGGAAAUUUUCUUCGAAUACCCAUCCGCACAGGAGAUCCCCCGGUCCAUACAGCUUUCCUUGAUCACGCCGCUAUGAGACAUUAUCAGUUCCUUGAGAGGGAUAAUGAAUCCCUCCUAUACCGGUUAAUAUUUAACUGACAACGCGUUUUCCAUAUUACCCUUCCUGCUCCUGCCUUCUUUGACUUUCAGGGAAAACAGAGAUAUUACAUAACCAGAGGAGAGGCAGAGGAGUAUGAGAGGGAGGUGAAGGUUGCUCGCCUCCGUGAGGCAGCUAUUCAGGCGGUAGCUGCCACGUUCCCGUACAACCCCCAUUAUGAUUUUGGAUAUCGCCCGGACCAGCCGUGGGAGUAGACCAACUUAGGCCAAAAUCCUAAGCUUGGGGAGUACGUGUCUCUCACCGACUUUAUAUUCAUGCUCACACAUUCACUUUGAUAGUCGGUGUUCACACUUUGCCAUUGUAUCAUCCAUGCUAGUUUAUUUCUUUUUCUCGCUUUCUUCUUGUGUGUAAGAAAAAUUAGUUGUAAGUUUACUUUCCAGCUUGCUUAGUGGUAAUUAAAAAGAAAACCCAAAAAGAUUUCCCGUUCUUCUUUUUCUUGUUGGGAGCUUUUCCGUGUAAAUAGUUUUCUUUUUCUUUGGGUCAAGGUAGAAUAUCAUGAUUAAAAUGUUUAGUGGCUCUCAUAUGCAUAAUUGUUUAUCCGUCAGAGAGCCCGUAUUACUUUGUCUUCUCCUCUAAGUUUGCUUGCAGAUUCCAGCUUAGUCCAAUGCAGGAACACUCUCAUUAUUAUUCACUUCAUUCGGUCGUGCAAGUGAAAGGCAAUAAUGACGAUAUAUGAUGAAGUGACUGAGCCUGGAAAAGCUGGUAUGAACUCGACCUAUUUUGUUUUUGUAAAUAUGACUAGCUCAUCGUUCCUAAUUCAGCAUUGUUAUGAGAGAAACAUGUUUGCAAUGACAACUUAGAGAUCAUAGCUUCUGAUGCCAUGCUUAAUUAUCUAGGAGCUUAUAAUGGUUUGUCUUGGAUGCCAACAUGAAUUUCAAAAUGAUUAUGAUGCAGUAUGAUAAAAUGGUAUCCUCCUUUGAAUGAUUCAAGUGGCUUGACUUGGCAAAUGUUCACGCAUGUAGUUGAAACAAAAUCAACAUAGCCUCUAUGAUAUUCAUGUUUAUGGUGAUUUAUAUCCUACUCAUGCUUGCACUCAACAUUGGUUAAUUUCAAUGCAUAUUAAUGACUGUUGUCCCUCUCUAGUUGGUCGCUUCCCAGUCUUUUGCUAGCCUUCACUUGUACUAAGUACGAAUACUGCUUGUGCAUCCACUUCCAUAAACCCAAAGUUGUUCCAUAUGCGUCCACCAUACCUACCUAUAUGCGGUAUCUACCUGCCGUUCCAAGUAAAUUUGCAUGUGCCAGUCUCUAAACCUUCAAAUAAUAAUCUGUUUUGUAUGCCCGAACCGCUCAUGUGGUGACAAGGGGCGGUCAGUAUCUUCCAUGCUAGGCGUGUUAUCCUUGAUACGUGUUUAUUCACUAUCACUCACGAGAAAGGGGACGGUAAUCGGAAUGCCCAGUUCCAUGCUCAAGUCGAAAAUAUAAUUGCAAACAAAACUCCCCUGGAUUGUUGUUGGUAUGGACGGCAACCGAGGAUUCGGCUAGUCGUGGAGUGUGAUUGAUCGGUGGUGGGGGAGUCAAAACUUUACUUUUCUGUUUGGGAACCGCCUAUAAUAUGUGUAGCAUGGAAGAUGGUGAAAACUCUUGGUCAUCGCGUUGACAACGAAAGCAUGCCACCCAAAAUUAUUUAUCUCUGUUUUAAAAAGCUUGAGCUCUCGCAGCUCUGCAAAUCAAUGCUUCCCUCUGCGAAGGGCCUAUCUAUUUACGUUUCUGUUGAGUCAUCCUCUUCUUAUUAAAAAGCACCAUUAGAGAGCACCUCCGUCAUUUUUAUGCUUUGCUAUUAAUUGAUAUUGAGUAUGACUGCGACUGGAUCUUCUUUGCAAUGAAUUACAAUGUUCAGUCAGCCCUUGGUCUUUGAAGGUGCUCUGCAUUUAUGUUUUGCAGUCUCAGAAAGGGCUAGCGAGACACCAUCUGUUCAUAUUGUAUUAUGAUUGUUUUGAAUGAAGUGUUGAUGUUUGAAACUUAUUAUUAUUGCUCGCUAGUUGAUUAUGCCAUUGAUAUGAGUACAUCAUGAGACCUAAAUGUUAUUGCUUAUGUGGUUAGCUUAUGAUGUUGCUGAAAAUCCGAAUAUGAGUUAGACAUAAUUACUACAACAAGGUCAAACAGAGUUCGUAAAAGUUGUUCUUUUGUCUCUUUCAGUUUGUCAACUGAAUUGCUUGAGGACAAACAAGGCUUUAAGCUUGGGGGAGUUGAUACGUCUCCAUCGUAUCUACUUUUCCAAACUCUUUUGCCCUUGUUUUGGACUCUAAUUUGCAUGAUUUGAAUGAAACUAACCCGGACUAACGCUGUUUUCAGCAGAACUGCCUAGGUGUUGUUUUUGUGCAGAAAUAAAAGUUCUCGGAAUGACCUGGAAACUUACAAGGAUUUUUUGUGGAAUAUAUAAAAAAUACUGACGCAAGAAUUACCUGAAGACACGGAGCCAGGGGCCCACAAGCCCAGGAGGCGUGCCCCCCCCCUAGGGCGCGCCUGACAGGCUUGUGGGGCCCACAUAUCUCCGCAGCCUCCAACUCCAAGUCUAUAAAGUCUCUCUUGCCCAGGAAAAAUUAAGAGAGAAGAGUUCAUCGUGUUUCACAACACGGAGCCGCCGCCACCACCUGUUCUUUCUCGGGAGGGAAGAUCUGGAGUCCGUUCUGGGCUCCAAAGAGGGGAAAUCGACGUCGUCGUCAUCACCAAUUCCAUGAUGCUCUUCACCGUUCGUGAGUAAUCUCAUCGUAGGCUUGCUGGACGGUGAUGGGUUGGAUGAGAUCUAUCAUGUAAUCGAGUUAGUUUUGAUGGGGUUUGAUCCCUAGUAUCCACUAUGUUCUAAGAUUGAUGUUGCUACUACUUUGCUAUGCUUAAUGCUUGUCACUAGGGCCCGAGUGCCAUGAUUUCAGAUCUAAACCUAUUAUGUUUUCAUCAAUAUAUGUGUGUUCUUGAUCCUAUCUUGCAAGUUGUAGUCACCUACUAUGUGUUAUGACCCGGCAACCCCGGAGUGACAAUAGCCGGAACCACUCCCGGAGAUGACCAUAGUAUGAGGAGUUCAUGUAUUCACUAUGUGCUAAUGCUUUGUUCCGGUUCUCUAUUAAAAGGAGACCUUAAUAUCCCUUAGUUUCCAUUAGGACCCCGCUGCCACGGGAGGGAUGGACAAAAGAUGUCAUGCAAGUUCUUUUCCAUAAGCACGUAUGACUAAAUACGGAAUACAUGCCUACAUUACAUUGACGAACUGGAGCUAGUUACAUAUCACCCUAUGUUAUAACUGUUACAUGAUGAAUGUCAUCCGAAGUAAUUAUCCAUCACCGAUCCAAUGCCUACGAGCUUUUCCUAUACCGGUCCUUGCUAAGUUACUUUACCGCUACUGCUGUCACUACUGCUACUGUUACUGCUGCUACAGUUACUAUCACACUACUUUGCUACAUAUACUAAGUCUUUCAGGUGUGGUUGAAUUGACAACUCAACUGCUAAUACUCGAGAAUAUUCUUUGGCUCUCCUUGUGUCGAAUCAAUAAAUUUGGGUUGAAUACUGUAUCCUCGAAAACUGUUUCGAUCCCCUAUACUUGUGGGUUAUCAAGAAUACCCGCCCUGAGUCAUGCUCUUGUGGUUAGGAUUCUACUCCUCUAAGUGAUGCUUUUGCAUGCCUUUCCUUCCUCACGCACCUACAAACUAUUCGCUAUUUCCUUCCGCGAUAAUGUGAGCAGUUUUGAAAUUUCUGUAAAGUGGACCCAAUGUGUGAGAUGAUGACAACUGGGACCCAUCUGAUUGGUGGGACAACUCCAAAAUAUAAUGGCCCAAACAAUGUUAAAAGGCCAUGACCUAGAAAUAAAUAAAGGCUGAAUUGUAGGGUUUGGCCUAUGUAGCUAACCCAAAUUGGCAAGAAAAAAAUAUGAAUGGGUUGAAUUGUUAGGCUCGGCUCAUGUAAAGUAGUGAAAUGGACCGAGCUGAUUCUUAUCAACGACCAAUUCUAUUGGUUGCAAUUUUGCCGCGAUUUUGCUACAUCAGCUUGCCACGUUGGAUCCGAUGUGGCCUGGGCAGACAACUAGUGGCCAAAACAAAAGGUCAUAGGACCAACGACCUUUUGUUUUGGUCGUUGCUUUCUACGACCAUAUCACAAAGAAGGUCGUUAAGUUUCAUUAAAGAUGGUUAGUUUUUGACCAACUGUUUUUUAGCAUAAAAAGAUCGCAAAUGAAAAACAAUGUUCAUUCAGCGACCAAUAGUGAUGGUCGCAAGUUGACAUAUUUCUUGUAGUGUGUAGCAGAGAUAUCAGACACACAACCUCUGCAACAUCGAAAUGUCCUAAAGACAUUAAGAAUGCACACAACCCAAAAAGAAAAGGAAAACAAGAUUUUUUUUUGCUACAAGAUGAAUUCCUUGUAACUAGCGAUAUGAUCCACAAGCUAAGACAAGUCGUAGCUGUGAGGAAACAAAGUGGAACAAUAUGUGAAGGUCGCAUGGACUUUUCCGCAAAAAAAAAAAGUCGCAUGGACUAAUCAAGGACAGAACAAUUAAUGGGUGGCCACGCUGCUUGUUAAGUGUAAACUAAUGUCUAUGUUUGUAUACGCCUAGCACCAAAUUAACAACCCCGCACUAGACAGUGACAUGUUAUCUCCAUUAUAUUUGUAUACAUUGCUUGAUUGGUUCCAUACAUGCAUCUUGAGAAAAGAAGAAUGCUUUUGUUAAUAAUAUGGUCGGAGAUAAUGAAUAAUCAAGCUGUGAUAUCCAAUGCAAGUUGGAUAUACUUAAGGGACGGGUCUAGAAUUGUUAGAGUUUAAUUAGUUAAUGUAAUUAGUUAACUUAAUCUUUACUUGUAACUGCACGUGGGCAUCUCCACGACCGAACCAACACUUCGUUCGUGGAGCGACGCCUCCACGAACCGCCUCCUCGUACCGUCGCUUUUUUUGGAAGCGACUGUUCCCCAUGUAUAUAUAUGUUCAUUCAUCAAUGAGAAACAGAGUUUGAUUACAUUUCUUCACACGUUAUCAGCACGUAGCCUACCGACAGAGCACCGGAGACGAAGAGAAAAGGUGAGAUGGCAGGGAUGAACCUGCACAGAAUCACCUCCGCCCUCGUUCGUUUCUUUAGAAGAGAAAUCCAUCGAUCUGCAAGAAGCCAGGGUCUUGGAGUUCAUCGCCAUUGGGGCUCUGGCAACGGCCGCCGUGGCUGCUGUGGUCGUCGUGGGCGUCGUGGUCACCACGACCACCAUGGAUCUGCAGCAGCAGGACCAAGCCACCCACCCAUGGCCGUCCACCAUGCCUACCAGGCACCUCCAAUGUCGGACUUCGUCGCCCCGCCGGCCUUUGUCGCUCCAGUCAUGGAUUGGCAACUGGAAUACACAGGGGGGAUCUUCUGUCCUGUGCAUAGAUACGGGCCAUGCCCUUCAAACCCGGCCAAUCCACCACUGGAAUCAGAGAUCGACGGAGGGGACACUUACCCGGAUCUCCCAACACCGACGCCUGCCGACGAAGAUCCCCUUGCCGCCUCCAGGCUAUGGCCCUGUUCCGGCCAUGGCCAAGUGGGAGGUGAUCCUGACGGAGAUGGCCGAAGCCAGCGCCCCAUCGGAGGCGGCCGAAGCCUGCGGUCCAUCGGAGGCGACCGAAGCCAGCGCUCCAUCGGAGGCGGUCGAAGCCAACGCACCGACGGAGGCGACCGGAUCCGGCGCCACCAUCCCCGCAUCUCCGCCGCCUUCGCCCCAAGCCCGCCCUCGGACGCCACCAGCGGCGGCUCGCCGGAUCCUUUGCCGAUUUGCUGCAGCACUAGAGCAGCACCGCCCCGGCCUCCGCUCCGCUCCUGGGCUCACGCCGGCAUCCACCUCCCUGGCUACGACGCGGCAGCCGUAGCCCCGUCCUCUCCCUGAGCGCUGCCGACGAGGGGCGCCAUCGGCGGCGGAUGUUGCGGGACGUCGUGGAGGUGGCUGUGGAACGGGGGAAUUCAAGGCGAUAUUUGUGGUCCUAUCCAACCAUUAUCUGGACCUUUUAGGUAUUUCAUGGUUCUAAUUGACGCAUCUACACGAUGGUCUCACGUGUGUCUAUUAUCCACACGAAACCAUGCAUUUUCCAAAAUAAUGAGACAAGUAAUUAAAUUACAAGCUCAUUAUCCUGAAAAUCGGAUUAAGUCAAUUCGAAUGGACAACGCUGCUAAAUUUUCCUCACGUGCCUUCAAUGAUUAUUGCAUGGCCCUAGGAAUCGAAGUUCAGCACUCGGUCCCAUAUGUCCAGACACAAAAUGGAUUGGAAGAGUCCCUAAUUAAGAGAAUUAAGCUCAUUGCACGGCCCUUGCUAAUGAAUUGCAACUUACCAACUUCAUGUUGGGGUCACGCAGUUUUACACGCUGCUGACUUAAUUCAAUUGCGACCAACUGCAUAUCACAACACUUCCCCUCUGCAAUUAGUACGUGGAAACCUACCAAAUAUUUUCCAUCUGCGUAAAUUCGGAUGCGCCACAUAUGUGCCCAUCUCACCACCGCAGCGUACAUCCAUGGGCCCACAUUGGAAAUUGGGGAUCUAUGUGGGGUGCAAAUCACCGUCGAUAAUCAAGUACCUUGAACCCCUCACUGGGGAUCUAUUCCCAGCCCGUCACGCUGACUGCAUCUUUAAUGAGGAAUAUUUCCCGGCAUUAGGGGGAGACAUCAAGUACCAAAAGAAUGCCCGGAAAUCUAUUGGAAUGCCCAAGACAUUUCCUCCUCUGAUCCACGUACUCAAGAAACUGAACUUCAAGUUCGGAAAAUAAUUAAUUUGCAACAUAUUGCAAAUAACCUGCCAGAUUCAUUUACUGACUAUAAAGGUGUUACAAAAUCCUACAAUCCUGCCAGAAAUGCGCCCGAAAGAGUGGAGGUACCAACAAAAACCACUCAACCCCCUGUUCAAAGGAAGAGGGGGAGAAAUAGGGGGAGAAAUACGGCCACAGAACAGGAUUCAACUUCUCGCAAACAAAAAAGGAAACAGAGGAAGAAACCCCGUGAACCAGUAAAUGUAAAUCAACCUAGCGUUGAUAAUCAUCAAAUGGGUAAUGAACACCCAGUGGAAGAACGGCCUCCACAACCCAGCUCAGUUGUGCACUCAAUGACUAGGACAUCGGAAAACCCUGACUCAAUCGUAUUGGGAAAUCACGACCAGUCAACAUGGGUAAAUGAAAUUUCCACCAACUAUAUGGAUUCUGGAGAAUGUUACAAUCGUAAGUCUACUAUUGUCGACAUAUAUUUCUCAACUACAGUUGCAGACUACCUUCUAAAUGAUCAUGAUCCAAAGACCAUGGCAGAGUGCAAGAAACGCUCCGACUGGCCUAAAUGGAAGGAUGCAAUCCAGGUAGAGUUAGCCUCGCUCAAUAAACGAAAGGUAUUCACUGAAGCAAUACCUACACCUCCCAGAGUUUUCCCUGUGGGAUUCAAAUGGGUUUUCGUCCGUAAAAGAAACGAGAACAACGAGAUGGUGAGAUAUAAAGCAAGGCUUGUAGCCCAAGGUUUCACGCAGAGACCAGGCAUUGAUUGCAAUGAAACAUACUCUCCAGUAAUGAGUGGUAUUACUUUCCGAUACCUUAUUUCUAUGGCAGUACAAAAUCGUCUACCUAUGCAGUUGAUGGACGUAGUGACCGCCUAUCUUUACGGUUCACUUGAUUCGUACAUAUGCAUGAAGGUUCCUGAUGGAGUUCCAAUCCCGAAUCCAAACGCAACGCAUAUUGUGUAAAACUAAACAAGUCUUUAUACGGCUUAAAACAGUGGGGUCGCAUGUGGUACAACCGACUUAGUGAGUUCUUUUUGAAAAAAGAUACUCCAAUAAUGAUGAUUGCCCAUGUGUUUUCAUAAAAAAGUCCGCAACCGGAUUUUGCAUUAUUUCAGUGUAUGUUGAUCAUCUUAACAUCAUUGGAACCACCGAAGAUAUUGAUGAAGCACGCAAUAUCUUAAAGACGGAAUUUGAAAUGAAGGAUUUGGGUAAAACUAAAUUUUGCUUAGGAUUACAACUUGAGCACCUUCCCUCGUGUAUUUUGGUUCAUCAAACCGCCUAUAUCCAGAAAAUAUUGGAGAAAUUCAAUAUGGACAAAUACUAUCCAUCCAAAAUCCCUAUGGUAGUUCGAUCUCUAGACAUAGAGAAAGAUCAGUUUAGACCAAUGGAUGAUGGAGAAAAGAUAUUAGGACCUGAAGUCCCAUAUCUUAGUGUGGUUGGAGCGCUCAUGUAUCUUACAAACUGCACCAGACCUGACAUUGCAUUUGCAGUAAAUUUAUUAGCUAGACAUAGCGCAGCUCCCACUAAACGCCAUUGGAUCGGAGUUAAGAAUAUCUUUCGAUAUCUCCAAGGUACAAAGGAUCUUGGCCUCUUCUUUCAAUUUCAAAGAAAUUUGGACAUUGAUUUGAUUGGGUAUACAGAUGCUGGCUACUUAUCUGACCCCCAUAAUGCCAGAUCACAAACCGGUUUCGUGUUCCUACAUUGUGGGACAGUCAUAUCAUGGAAAUCUUCCAAGCACACCCUAGUGGCUACAUCCACCAAUCGUUCUGAAAUAAUCGCAUUAUAUGAAGCAUCACGUGAAUGUGUAUGGCUUCGCAGAAUGAUAAACCACAUACAAAAAUCAUGUGGCAAAGGUCUUAUCAAAUCUCCAACCAUUAUCUAGGAAGAUAAUGCUCCUUGUGUUGCUCAAAUGCAAACGGGUUAGAUAAAGAGCAAUAUCACUAAGCAUAUUUCUCCUAAAUUAUUUUUUCCCCAUCAAUUACAGAAGAAAGGGAAAAUAAAUAUUUUGCAAGUUAAAUCGUGCGAUAAUCUCACUGACCUAUUUACAAAAUCACUCCCAGCUUCAACAUUUGAAAAAUAUGUUCAUGGGAUAGGUAUGCGAAGACUUCGGGAUUUGCAAAGAUCAGGGGGAGUUUCUCUCUCUGAAAAAUAACCCGUUCAAACAUUAUAUUGCACUCUUUUCCCUUUAUGAGUGUACUUCCAUAGUUCUCAUCAAGGUUUUUAAUGAGACAAUAUCAACAUAAGACAUAUGUCAUACUGUCCGUUUUUCCCCACCGGGUUUUUUAGGAAAAGUAUAUACGACGUAUUUUUGUCCUCUAAUUUUAUGGAUACAUUUCAUAUAGAAUUGACAGAGGCAAUAAUCAUUAUAUGUUGUAUCAUUUUCUCCUUAUUUUUCCACAAGGUUUGAAGGAGUUUUAGCAGCAUAUACUAUACUACUUCUCAUAUUUUUCUCACGGGGUUUUUGGAGGAGACUAUUUUAAGAUGAUGAACAUACAUUUUAAGAUGAUGAACAUACGAUGAAUACUUGCUGUUUUCCCUGCAAUGAAACUGUAUGUACGACCGUGGAAUUCUAGUCCAGUCAUUUCAAUGUCAUUUACGGUGAAACUGAGGAGCAUAACGUACGGGGACACAUGCUAGCUGCAAACACGCGCACUCCGGCCGCCGCCAGUCAUUUGCAACACUGUGCGUUGUGUCAAGCUACGGAUUUCCGGUGGUGGCUGUCGACCGAGAUCGAACGUUUCUUCCGGCGACCUCUAUCUUUUGCUGUGGUAAUUUCUUUUGUCGUCGCUAGAGGACGUGGAUGAUAUUGUUGCAACGCACGGCAAUUCUUUGGUUUUGUUUAUUUAUUUAUAAAUAAUCUAACUGCUGCGGUCACGAUGGAUUUUCUAGGUAGCAUACCUCUUGUAUCUACUCCACGUCUUCACUUCAACUUUAUGCGUGGCUAGCUAGGGCAGUUGCCGACAGUUUGGACAAAAGAUCAGAUCAGUGGCCGAAUCGGGUAAGGUUGUCGGUUCAAGGUUUCAUCGGUCGGUUCACAGUCUGUUUUUUUUUUUWAUAAAAUAUCUUUUGUAUACUGAUGUAAUAUAUUUACCUUUUUCUUAACACAACACAGUCACAUACACUCAUAGAUACGCAAAUAUACUUACCCCUAUGACUGGGAGCUAUGACAUGUUUUCCUUGGGGUUUGUGAUCUCGAACGGACCACUAUUUGUACACGUCGACUUGGUUCGACAUCUCCGGUUUUACCUCCCAAUUCUUUAUCUUUAUCUUUAUCUUUACCUACUAAUAAAGCAAUUAGUGCUUCUGUUGUCCGUCUUUAACAUUGCCCAUAAAGUUGAUGAAAAUUAUCCACAAUUGCCACUUAUAAGUCAUUGAAAACAUUUCAAACAAGAAAAUCUUUGGACUGGGCCGGCCCAUGUAGGCACCUCCUAUAUUACGCUCUGGGCAUUGCAAAAAGAUGCAGCACACCUAUUUGGGCCGGUCCAUGCGUGGCCGCCUGUUAUUUUAGUUUUUUUUACUUUUCAGUUCUAUUUUUUUCUACUUUAAAUAAUUUAGAAGUUCAAAUAACUUUUUCUUAAAUUUAAGAAACUGAGAAUUUUGAAAUAAAAUAUUAAAAAACAUAUUUUUUUGAGAAUUCAAAAACUACUCAGGAGUUUUGAAAAAUGUUUGCAUAUACAAAGAAAUGUUUAAAUUUUUAAAAAAUGUCUGUAAAAUGAAAAAAGUCAAUAAUUUCAAACAAAAGUCCGUGUAAAAAUCUUAAAAACAGUUUGUGCCUCUGUUUUUAGUCUCAUUUUUAAUUUUCAUUUUCUGUUCCAUUUUUUAAAUUUAAAUAAUAUCGACUUUUGAAAUUUUUUUGCAACUUAUAAAACUUAGAAUUUUGAAAUAUAAUUUUGAAGAAAAUAUAAAAUGUUUGUGAAUUCAAAAAAUGCUCGGGAUAUUUGUAAAAGUAUUCCCAUAUUCAGAAAAAUGUUCAUAAUUUUGAGAACAAUGUUGGUGAAAACAAUAAAAGUCCAUGAUUUUGAGAAAAACGUUUGUGUAUUAUUUUUUGAGUGCAAUUGAAAAAAAUAUUUGCUAAUUCAAAAAAUGUUCAUGCAUUUCAAGAAAUGUCCUAAAAUUUUAAGGACGUAAUAUGAUCAACAUCCUUGAAGAUUAUAAUUAUUUUUCUUCCGUUGCAUCGCACGGGACCUUUUGCUAGUUGCAUAAAAAGUUCAAAACCUUUCGAUUCAACCGGUCCACUUUGGUUUAACAGGUGGAACGUCCAGAGAGUUUAAGAAACCGGCAUUGUCCCUGGUUCCAGCUUUCAGUUUCACCAGCGGUCCCGUCCCGUGCUGAUAAAUAUGCUGGCCGAUUAAUUUCGAUAUAUGCCUCUUUUAUUCUUUUAUCUAUCAGCAUAUCAACAUUUGUGUGCAUGUUGAGUCGUUGACUUGCCACCUCGAUCCAUCUUAUAUUCAUUUAUUUGUUCGAGUUGUGCAUUCUAUCUUUGCAGGUGCAAGAGAUAAUAAUUCAGUAUAACCUAGACACUUUCCUCCAUCUAUGGAUUCUCUACUUGAACAUUACCAUCAUAUACCAUCCAGAUGAUACUAGCUGGAUUACUGGGUUGGAUUACAUCUUCGAGUUGGCACCUCUCUUAGAAGAUUUGGAACUACAUGUAAGUUCUUCACUCGCCGAUCAUGGUACUUGCAUCUGUUUGUAUACAAAUAUGUAUUUGGUAUUAAUGAAUGGUUGGAUAUACUUGUGCAAAUAAAUUGUGGUAGAUUUGGCCUUCCUACAAGGAGUGACAACUCUUCCAAGGCCUCGGCGUCAUCAUCUCAGUAGCGCCCGCAUUAUUGAUUUUGUGAUCUGGUGGGGAUAGUCGAGCUUGAUGUCCUCCAGAUCCAGGCACGACGCGCCACAUAGAAGCCUCGUGAUAUCCCCCGGUGGGCGUCACCGACAGAGACAAUUGUGCAAUGAAGACCCCGGCAGCCUUUGUUGUCGCCCUAUAACUGUAGCUGGGUUUUUGCAACUAGGGCGGUCGCGUGGCUCUGCUCAAGCUGCCCACUAGUCCCCUGUUUCGACAUGAUCCAGAAGACAAGUCGCGGAGACUAAACAAGGUUGAACAACAUGUGCCUCUUGCAGUUUAACUAAUGAUGCUUCUUAAAUAAUGCCUUGUCACUUGCUAGAUUUUUCCUCCAAGUUUCUAUAUGCACCGUACCUUGCAUGUCUCUCAGAGAGGAUGGUGUACUGUUGAUGUAUGUACCACUUCUUUUUGCAGGGAAUGUAUAUAUCAUGUACGUACCACUUGCAUGAGCCGCUGAAUGUUCCUAGGUAGUCUUAACGUAUGUUCGUACGCUAACCAUUAGGCUACACUGGAGCGAGUAGUAGUCAACAAGUCAUGGAUGAUGGGAUGCGUGCGUUCAUGCUCUAAAAAGUCAAAGGCUAGCUCUUUUUCUUAAAUUUGUUGCAAUGGUUUUUAGUUGUUGUGGCUAGAAGACGUGGAUGCUAUUGUUGCAAGGCACGACAAUUCCUUGUUUUUAUUUAUUUACAUUUAAAAAUAUGUUGCAGUCGCGACAUAUUUUCUAGGCAGGACGGCAUCUCAUCCCCUUCAUCUUAUCAGUUAACUCGCUAUGCUGUUUAGAUUUCUACACCAUCUCAACUUUGCACAUUUGGUUCGACCUCUUUGGCCGCUAUUGGCCCCUUACGUCAAAUGGUUUCGGCUUUUCUGAUGAAAUGUUUUAAUCACCGAAUAAAGCAACAGAACACGUACUUAAUUUGUACUAAAACCCGAUGAGAUGCAGCCGCGCAGGUAAGGAAGCCCAUCUAUGGGCCCAUCCAGUUUGCCGUACAUAACAACACAAGCCCGUGAAUAUUUGAUUGUCGCAUAGAGAAAAUGUAUUUAAGAAUUCACUAACUGCAACCUUGAAACAUUAAAUAGAAGAAUGACAGAGUGUAGACGUGCACUACCUUUUGGUCAGGGGCAGAGCUAGGAUUUGAACAUAGGUGGGGCGAAGAGGACAAUGCACGUGCAGGAAAUUCAGGACCAAAUAUAUUGAUUCUGAAAUAUAGUGUUAAUAUCAAACAAACAAUGUUAUUUUUUCCUGCAAUAACAUUGAAAUAGCUAGGUUUUUUAUUAGCUUAGAUAUAUAUCUACACACAUCAGGCCCAUCAAACGUCAAGGUUUGUAGAGAUUUCACUCCCAAAAUAUAUACUCCCUCUGUACCUAAAUAAUUGUAGUAGGGAAGAACUAGUCAAGUUUUCCCCAAUUACAAUUAUUUAGAUACAGAGGGAGUACAUGUCACUCUGCAAUGUGCAAUCUCAUCAGUAGACUGGGUGGUUAAAAUAAAUGGUUUCAAUUGUUAGUUAUUGGUGGUCUCUUCUUCCUCAUGCUUUAUGCAAUUCUAGACUUCUAGUUAGUACACAAAUAUCAUUUUUAAUUGAAUCUAACUGGUACAACCUCUGUCCCAAAUUACGUGUCUUAAAUUUAUCAAGAUAUGAAUGUGUUGUAUGUAAACAAACCUAAGACAAGUAACCUUUGGAUCCGCACUGCUUCUGGUACUACCUCAUGUUGGUUUAACAGUGUGCCUCCUCACGCCAUCCAUGAUCAGCGUGUUAGUUAAGCUGUCUUUCCACUCUCUGCCAUAUCUCUUAUACCACUAUCAUGAUGGGCUUGCCUGCAUUUAUACAUAUACUUCUUUUUUUGCACCGUUACAUAUACUUUUUUCGUCACGGGUUAGAAGGCGUGCUUGGAAAUUCUCUGGAACCUAGGCGUUGUUGAUUGAAUGCGAGAUGGGUUGAAAAAUAGAAUUCACACUACGCAUGCAUACAGAACUAGUACAAUGGAGUACUAAUUGGCUGCUAAAAGUAAAUGCAAUGUGUCCACAACUUUGUUUAGUGUGAAAAUGCACGUAAAUUUAACCAUGCGUUCUAAACCGCGACUGAGGGAGUACUUGAUAUGGCAAGUUCUUUUUUAGCAUUUGUGGGCAUAUGUUGGCUUUAUUGACCAUUAAUGGGGUGAUAGUGACAAGGUAGCAUUUCUAGUAUUAUAGGUGAUCCAAAUUUAACGGUGUAUAAUGACCACACUAUUAUCCAAAUGGGAACAACCUCCCAUUAAUGGUAGGAGAAUCAGUCACCCAUUUUUGUACAACCUCCCACUAAUGUGUCUGUGAUUUGUUUGCAAACAUUUAUUUUUUACUCUCACUGCGAAAUGCCCCUAUGAGGAAGAACAACAUAAAAAUAGGUCUCGUGCCUGUGAGUUUUUGCAAAGUUUUUUACUCUCCCUGUCAAGUGGCCCUACAAGUAAGAACAAUAGUAAAAAAUGGAUCGUGUACCUGUGAUUUUUUACAAAGUUUUUUACUCUCACUGCCGAGCGGCCCUAUUAAGAAAAGCAAGACAAAAAUUAGGCAGCAGCUUCAAGGGGUUGAACCAGGUUCCAACUCACCAUCGUACCAUCGCAUACUUCCAAUUUUUCACAGGUUACAAAUGAAGUUAUUCCAUUCCUAAUAAAAUUUGAAAUAAAAAUGAGUUUUUGUUCGGUACACCGUACCCCCGCCCCCUCCCUCACAACCUACCUUGAAAAAAGCCAAGGCACGCGUUGGUUUGAAGUUUUCGUAGCAAUCUAGAGGAUCUGUGUGAUAUUUCAGCUGCAACGGACUGCAGUUCUUUGUCGAUUUUUCUGCAAAUGAUUUACCUAUUGUGGCCGCUAUAGAUUUUCUAGGUAGCAUGUCUUCUCAUCCCAUCCCGGGCCUCGCUCUCGAGGCCAUCGGGGAUCAGUUUGUGUGUUCGUCCGAUUUCUUCUAAGAUCGAUCUGCAACGUCCGUCGGUACCGCUGGAGCUGCACUUCCACUCUAGUGUGGCACGCCAAUAUUUUUUAUCAUAUCUACACGCCGUUGCUUAUACUUUAAAUGGUAUGUUUUGGGAGCAUUCGUUUGUAGCCUUAUGCAACAUAGACUAUCAUGCAAUGACAGGAUGACAGUGACUGAGGUAGAAUUUCUGGAACCGUACCCAAUGACAGAUUUUAAGAUGGAUGGUGAUCACACUGUUAUCCAGAUGGAAAAACCUCCAAUGGUAGGAAUCAUAUACUUGGGCAUGUUGUCCUGAUUUUUCUUUUUGAAAUUGAGACAAAAUAUUUGCCUCAUCUCACUAAUAAAAGAGAGGGUUGAAUUACAUAGCUGGCUGUCCAAGGACGGCUCUCCAAUUUUGUUUUUUAUUCUUACGACAUUACAGAACUAACAUCCUCAGAGCAACUCUAGCACACCCCGCAUCCAUCCCCGACCCGUAAAAUAACCGCCAAAAUGCGGGUACGGGCCGGAAAGCCUGCCCGACCAGACCACGCAUCCCGCCCCGGUCCGCAAAUUUUUUUUGGGGGCGCGGCAAAUUCCCGACCCCAACCCGGAAAAACGCGGGUUUCCGCCUCGCUGCUGCGGUGCCCUGCAUCACAGAGAAGCAGUUGGCGGGAGGGACAUUUCAGGCCGCGCUCUUUGCCCCCUCCUUCCGCCGCCGCCCGCCCUUGCUUACGCCCGCCCGCCGCCGGCGAUUCCGGCAAUAUCUGCAGGCGAGCCGCUGCACCGCCCCUCCGGAUCCGGUGAGAAGACSCCCCCCCCCCCGCCGCUGUCGCCGCCGGGGUAUCGACCACCAUCGAGCGCACCCCCUCGUCGCCGCCCGGGUCAUCCGCAACCGGUUAGUCCUUUAUUUUUAUUUUUGUGAGCUGUGCGAGAAGUUCUUACUAUCCGAUUCGUCCGAUUCGGACGACUCGGAUGUUGAGACCAUGCUUGCGAACUUUCGGCAGCAAACAUUAGUCAUGGCGCUUGCCGUGAAGGAGCAUGAAGACGAGCACCGGAAGAGGAGGCGAGGAUUGACUGUCGGGCGUUUGUGCAUUUCUCGAAAUCGCCAUCUUGGAAACGAGAUGUUGAUGCAAGACUAUUUCACGAAGAAUCCUACAUAUCCUCCGCACCUCUUUCGGAGAAGGGAUCGAAUGCGCCGAUCCCUCUUUGUGAAACUUGUUCAAGCUUGCGAGUCAAAUUGCCGGUAUCCAUUUGUAUUUGUAUUCAUGACAAGUUUUGUAUUGCACUAUUUAAGUUUGCUAUGGUUAUUUGAAUAAUUAUUUGUAAUGCGGAUGAUUAUUGUAUUAUGUUUGAUUCGAAUAAUUAAGUUUGUUUUCGAUUGUUGAAUUAUGUUGUAUUUGAUAUUUGUGGGCUGAUGAUAUGCGGGAUGCAGCGGUGCAAAGAGCAGACCCCGCAAAGCCGACCAGUAAAAAAGUAUAUUCCGCGAAUAUAUAUUUUGACGGAUCCGUUUGGAGGGUCUGCAUGUGUGCCAGCCCGGGCCAGCCCGCAAAAGCUGUUUUACACGAACUGCAAACGCGUUUUGCAAGCAAGUAGUACUUGUUGUGGAACACGUCCGGCGUUCCACCACUCCUUAAUAGUGCCAAUUUUCUGGCCCCCUCUUGCAAAGUUCACUAGUGGAAAACGGACCUUUGGCCGGGACCCUUUAGUCCCGGCCUGCCUCUAGGCCAGGAUUAAAGGCCCGGCCACGUCACCCCAGUUCUCAAUGCCUCCCUCGAGGCUUUAGUCCCGGUCCGUAAGGAGCCUUUAGUCCCGGUUCGUGUCCCAAACCGGGACUAAAGGGCUACGCGGCGGGCAGUGGUGGUGGCAACCGUUCGUAUCCCCCUUUAGUCCCGGUUGGUGGCUCAACCUGGGACUAAAGGCCUAACACGUGGCAUGUCGUAGUGGUGGCAACCGUUGGUAUACCUCUUUAGUCCCGGUUGGUGGCUCAACCCGGGACUAAAGGCCCAAACGGUUUGCAUCCCGCGUCGUUUCGGGCAAUGAAAAGCACGAACCGAAGCACAGUCGCCAUUUCUCUGUUUCUUCUUCUCUCUCGCUCUCCCUCUCUGUUCUUCUCCUCUCUUCUUCCCUUCUCUUCUUCCACCAUGCCAACUCGCUUUCAAAAGGUGCUCGCACAUCGCACGACCAUGCUCGAUGUCGUGUACACGAACGAGAGCAGGGAGGUGCCAUUUUUUCUUGAAUAGUUGAAGGAAAAAUGUCUUGACGCCGCAAUGGAUCAUGAGAAGUUUUUGGGGCUUGAUCUGGAGUACACGGCCGAUCAACACGGUGUUGCCGUCAUCCAACUAUGCUUCGCACGCCAUGUCUUGAUCUUCCAAUGGGCGAGGUAAGUUUUGAGGCUUUCUUUGAUCCAAGAUAAUGACAUUGUAAGUUUAUUUGUUUCAAUCAUAGUUGGUUCCCUUCAAAUAGUUGUAGUGAAACAAUUUUGAUUAGUUGAAGGGGAACACAAUCUAAUUGGUAAUAGURGUUCCAUAAUCUGAAAAUCGUAUUAGAAUCAACUAGUGUUUAAUAUGUUUCAUUGGAAUCAUAGUUGGUUCGCUUCAAAUAGUUGUAGUGAAACAAUUUUGAUUAGUUGAAGGGGAACACAGUCUGAUUGGAAUAGUGUUCCAUAAUCUGAAAAAUCGUAUUAGAAUCAACUAGUGUUUAAUAUGUUCCAUUGGAAUCAUAGUUGGUUCGCUUCAAAUAGUUGUAGUGAAACAAUUUUGAUUAGUUGAAGGGAACACAAUCUGAUUGGAAUAGUGUUCCACAAUCUGAAAAAUAUGAUUGGUUCAAUAUGUUCCAUUGAAAUCAUAGUUGUAGUGAUACAAUUUUAUGCGGUGUUCUUUGAUCCAAGGUUAUGAAAAUUGCAUAUAGCUAGUGAUCUCUCUAGGUUCCAUUGGAUAGCAAUAUGAUAUGUCAUAGUCAUGAAAAUUGCAUAUAGCUAGUGAUCUCUCUAGGUUCCAUUGGAUAGCUAUAGUGAUCUCUGUAGGUUCCAUUGCAUAUGUUCUAUUUGAAUCCUAAAGAUAAUUUUCUCUUCAGUUGUAGUGAAACAUGUUUCCUUAUUGCAGCAGUAUGUAACAUUUGUUCCAUUUUAAUUUGUUUCUGUUGCAGUAGUGACAAGCAUUGUCCAGAACUCAUGGACUUCCUUCGCAGCGGCAUCACUUUUGCUACCGCUGACAUAAGGAACGACAAGCUGAAGAUGAGGUACAACUUCGGUAUUGCAGAAGGAAAACGCCAGGAUAGCAAAGGAACAUCAUGAUGCGCAGAUGAAAAAGAAGGAACCCGAGCCCCGCCCGGAAUACACCGAGAAGCAAAUAGCAUGGGCAAAAGACUUCAUAACCCUUCCAUCACAAUAUGACUUACACUAUAAGCCUGAUGACUAUACACGCACAUUGCAGAAGGAAGUGAAAAAGAGCAGUUCAUGUGCAAGUGCAAGUGGGAGCAAAUCAAGUUCAACUACAAGCAAGAAAAAAUCAGACGUUCCUCAGCUUGGACAACAGGCCAAACAGUCGAUCCCACCCCUCAAGGUGUUAACCGAGAAUGUUCCCCCUCCGAUGCAGGGGCAAGCUUUUGAAAGAGCAAAGGAGUUGGCGGCUGAAUGUGGUAUCUCGGUUGAAGAUUUGCCGGCUUCCCAAGACGACAGGAUACCCAAGGCUGUGGUAGCCCCUAAGCCACAGUUUGUCAUGGGAGAGCCUUUGGUCAGCAAAGAUGAUCUCCCAACAAAUAUGCGUUACUUGCAUCAAUGGUACUUAAGUGAAUCAAAGAAUGGGAGAAUGAUGAUCGUGCUGAGUGUCCCACGGGAGUACUACGGCGGCUCCGAAGAAAUCCAUAUCGACUUUGAUGAACUCUUCCAGAUGUACAAUGGCGACGCCCUCGAUAAAUCGCUUAUGAGUUGCUAUUGUCUGUAUGUUUUUCAAUUCGUUGUCUACAUAUAACUUGUUUAGUUAUUUCAAUUCAUUGUCUAUAUAUAACUUGUACUCUAUUAUGCAGAAUGAAGAUUCUGGAUUGUAAAAGUAAGACCAUCCUAAAUAUUGGGUUUAUUGACCCAGAUAAAAUACAUAUAGCGACGCUAACUGAUAAACCCAAGGAGGCAGAGGAAAACCUUCUAAGGUUUCUAAUAAAUCAAAAUUUCUGUGACCACAUACUGUUUCCAUACAACUUCAGGUGAGGGUCUUUACUCUGUUGUGUCCAUUCACUUAUAAGUGUAAUUGAUAAGUUACUGACAUAUACACACACACACACACACACACACACACACACACACACACACACAUGUGCAGCUUUCAUUGGAUUCUGUUGGCCAUUCAAAUUGAUAAGGGAAGAGUUGAUGUCUUCGACCCAUUAUCGAGACCCUUGGAACAGUUCCAAAGCCUGCAGGACAUGCUCCAAGGGUAAUUUUAAUCAAUCUUGCGCUCUAUCGGUCUCUUUCAAUGAUUUUCUGAUAUAUCAAUUAAUGAAAAACUUAGCAAAUCAUUAUCCUUGUCAGGCAGGGUUUGGAAGCGGUUCAAGUGCGUGACUCCCGGUAACUUUCCUGAGAAGCUGACCUUUAGAGCGGCUCAGGUAAGUAGUAGUAUGAUAUACUUCUAUUAAUUUUCAAUACAUUUAUGAUGCUAGAUUAUUAUUUUGAUUAUAUAUAUUAUAUUCUCGUAAAGUGCGACCAGCAGCCACGGGGAACGCAUCUAUGCGGAUACUAUGUUUGCGAGACCAUUCGCACGUUUACCUCUGAGCUCAAGGAUCACAGAUUCGACGUAAGCAAUGAACAUUCACACCUCUAUUUUUACCCGUCAUUCUUUGUUAUCAUGAUUGAUAUUCAUAUUCAUCUCCUCUUCUUAUAUAGCACACGACCAUGAGGACGAAGGUCCUACCAGAGCAACGCGCGAUUGCUGUUGCAGAGGAGCUUGCGGGAUUUCUGAGAACGGAAGCUAUAGAUGACAAAUGACGAUUUAGUGUAACCAGGGGCCAUUACUGAUGUUCGUCCAUGUAAUCGAAUAGACGGGCUCUAGUCCCGAUAAUUCAAAUCUCCAUAUAAUUGUAUAUAUAUGCUCGCUUGUAAGAUAAGUUAAUCUUAUAUAUAUAUGCAUAAUUAUUUCUAUUUAAAUUAUAUGAAAACUAAUUCCCGAACACCAAACAAGGCAUCACGUUAAUCUCCCGAACACCUAAACCCUAAAACCCUAAAACCCAAAAAUAAUUUCAUUCAAAAAAAAACCCAAAACCAGUAAAAUCUGAAAAUCUUUAGUCCCGGUCCGUGUAACGAACCGGGACUAAAGGGCCUGCCCCUGGGACGCUACGAGGCGCCCACGUGGAGCACCUUUAGACCCGGCUUGUAACAGGGCCGGGACUAAAGAUUAGGCCUUUAGUCCCGCCCCUUUAGUCCCGGUUGGUGAACCGGGACUAAAGCCAGUUCGAACCCGGUCCUGUAUGUAAGUCAAGCAAAGAAUUUAUGCUCUGGUGGUGCCUGAUUGUUCCACACAGCCGUCAUAUUGUCUUAUCACUCACUCAUUUUAUUACAACACCAAAAUUACACAAAAACAGUAGCACCAUGACACGGCGUAGAGCACACACACGCUCACAAGCUUCAGCAUAAAUCAGCACAAAACUUACUGGGAGGUAGCAUCUCUGGACUUCUAGCCAAGACAGAUUUCACGUUGUAUGGUGAUCAGAGUGUUAUCCCAAAUGGGAACAACCUCAUAGGGUAGGAAGCAUAUAUAUAUACUCCGGGCAUGAUGUCUGAUCACUCAACUCAUUUUAUUACAACAUCACAAUUAUAAAGAACCACUAGUACCAUGACAUGAUCAUAGCGCACACACACACACGCUCACACGCUUCAGCAAUCACGGCAACUAAACAAUUUCUUACAUGGCGGAGGCAUGGCCCUCGUCGCUGGCGGUCUCGAUGCCGUCGACACGGCUGUUGGGGACGGCGCAGUUGAACCGGAUCUCGCCCUGGCUGCCGGUGAGCAAGUCCAUGUUGCUCAUCUUCACCAUGGACUUGGCAAACUGCUCGAAGAACGCUCCCUGGUUGAGGGCGAAUCGCGUCGCCAUGCGCGUGGUUUCAGGGUGGACGAUGAGGCCCUGGUCCGACUUGAACAGGCCCUGCUUGGCGAUGAGAUCAAAGUAGUACUUGUUGUCGAACACGUCCGGCGUGCGCACAUCGAGCGACUGGUUGACGCUAAGCGCGGGCACGUCGUUGGCGCACUUGGCCUUGAGCUUGGCGGCGAAAUUGGGGUCGAUUGCUGGGUUGGUGUCGACUUCCGGCGUGAAGCGGUCGGAGAAGGCGGGGCAGUGGGCGAUGCCGAACGUGUGUGCGCCGGAGAGGGACACCAGGUCGGCCUUGUCGAGGUUGCGGUCGCCGAAGGACUUGAGGAGCUCCGGCACGGUGAAUGAGGGGGCUGGAAGGGUGAAGACGAGGUCCUGCGACGCUGGGGCCAGCCCGUCGCGCCGGCCCAGAGCCACCUCAAAGCGGGGCCCGCCAGCCUGCACGCACCACAUCCACGUAAACGUAAACGUAAACGUAUAUGUUAGUCACAGUUCGAGAAACAUGUGUAGAAAAAACUGAAAAAGUAGACUAUGAUAUGCUAGGAAUAAUGGUUUGGCCGUGCAUGCAUGCUGCAUGUCCAGCACGAAAGGUAUAGGGCAAUGGUACCAUACCAGCACGACGGAGUCACGGGUAGCGAGAACGGUGAUGUCGGCGCAGGAGACAGUCCGGCCGCAGGACCUGUGGACGGCGGCGCGGAUGGUCUCGAUGAGGUUGAGCCCCACCGGCCGGAGCGUCAGAUUUGGCCCCAACGCCUGCUCGCUGUUGUUGCCGGUCAGGAGCACCGACGCGUCGCAGCCCUGCAACAAGAGCAAAUAUAAGUAAGUAAGAAGAAGCGCCAUGCAUAUAUCAUAUGUAGAUACAUAUUUCUGACGUUGAUACAUACGCACCUGAGGGAAGCAGUCGUGGAAGAAGAUGCGGAUGAGCCCCGGCGCUACGCCGACGUCUUUACGGAAGGCCUCGGCGACGUGAUACUGGACGAUGUGUUCCAGGUCCGGGCACGAGCCCGCGUGGAAGUCCGGCGAAAGCUCCCCGGCGGCCGCCGCUGCCGAAUGGACGACGGCGCAGGCCAUGGCCACGACGACCAGGGCCGCUGCUGCUCUGGACGCCAUCUUUCGAUCACACUCUCUGCGGCAGAUUGAUGGAGCUAGGUUUUGCAGGUACCUAGGGCGGCCGGCGGUCGUCGUGUGGCUUCCUCAAGCUAGCUAGCCAACCCCUCUCUAUUUAUAAUCGGUCGGUCCUCGGUCAAAUGUCUCCGAUGCAAUUACCUCCACAGCCUUGAUCUGAUCCAGAAUUCCAACACAGACGGACAAGUCGCACUAGCUAGACGUACGUACGUUGCUUACAAAUCUGGAUCAACAUGUGCAAGUCGCUUAACUUUUUUUUAACAUAUACAUGCGCAUACAUUUAUUCCUAUGAAUACAUACAUGCACAUCAUACCCCUAUGAGAAGCUCCGAGAGACUCAAUCGAUAUAUCAUAUUAAGAUUUACAAAAUUAUCAUAGACGCCUCUUCGACAAAAACUCUUCUUCCAAUAAAAGUGUAUAGCUGGAAAUCCUAAAGUAAAUUUGAAAACAAUGCAAACAACAAGAUUUGAUCAUGAUAGGAUGGGGAUAUCACUGUUUCUCUAACCAUUCAAUAGGUUGGUUUACUCAAGUCGCAUGCCUUGAAACUACAUGUCGGAAGAGCUAGUUAAGGCCUACACCGUUGCGAUAAAAGAGUUUGAUAAUGCAUGCAUCGACGGCGUCACUUUCCCGGAGCUUUCGUGCACACGCAUUUGCACCUAACCAACGGUGACAUGUUGCCAAACUAGCAUACAUGUGUAUGCAAUUAAGGGCCGGCGGGCACGCAGGCAAGAGCUGACCGGGCUCCAUUGUUUUCUCGGUGAAGCGGAUCGAUUGGCUGCUCGAUUGAUUCCAUGGAUGGACAAACAAGAAGAUUAGUAUUAAUUAAUCCACUUGUUAAUGUGUAUAUAUAUAGUUUACUGAUCAAGAUAGCUGUAGGAUCAAGUAGGGUUUUAUGUAUGUAUUUCGCCUGCGUUGAAAGGAGACUUGGAUAUGGUUAACUGAUUUGGAAUAAUUUUGGAUGACACAUAGGAGAUGAUUGAGUACUUAAGGACGGAUUAAUUAGCUAGGGGUGGUUGGAUGGGAUCGAUAGAGUGUGGCCUCAUCUCCCGGAGGAUGCCUGCCACUUGCAAGAUCGACAUGAUAGAAUAAUGCCGCUGAAAAUUCUUACAGCAAGGUCGGCCACGUGCUGCACCUACAUAUGGGCGACCUCCAUGGAGGUGGUUAUUUUGAAAAAGACUCAAAAUAAAUUUUAAAGCUUCAAAUAUUUUUGAAAAAAAUGUUACAUGUUCAUAUGUAUUAUGGUUGGAGCUAGACAGAAAAGGCAAAGUCAUGAUUUGAAACCGGCAAACAGUACAAGAACUGUUCACUAUUAAAAAUGUUGGGUUUUAUCUUUUUUGUGUAGCUCUCGCUGUUACGUAUUUCAUCGCCAGAUUUUAUACACAUGUAGAAUACAUCCAUAUGAAUGUGUAGAAUUGUUUUCAGAAUGUUCUAAAACUCCAAAAUGUGAUUAUCGGAUUUUUACAAAAUUUCCAUCUUCAUGGAGGUCGACCGCCAAAAGCCCUCACUCAGCCAAAUACUCUUAUAAUAUAACUGACUUAGGCUAGAUGGAGCCAGUCAUGCGCUCGUUCCUACUUACCCCCUCCGUUCUUAAAUAUAAGACCUUUUAAAAAUUUCACUAUGAACAACAUACGGAUGUAUGUAAUCAUAUUUUAGGAUGUAGAUUCACUUAUUUUGCUUCGUUUUUAGUUCAUAGUGUAAUUUCUAAAAGGUCUUAUAUUUAGAAACGGAGGGAGUACACGAUAGCCAAGGCUCCUCUUUGCGUACAUGCCGGAAGUUCAAAAGAAGCAUGAGAUGAUUGUUUUUCUUUAGAUCUGAAGGCAUUCUAUCUAGGACGGUUCAAUCAGGUUAAAUUACCGUCCUGGAUCUGAGCUAUGGCUGAGCUCAGUUCUGCACCUAGGCAUGUUCAUAUCAAGGACGGUCGACCUGCUCAAGCGAGCCGUCCUGAUCGUUAAGGACACGAACGUCGUGCACUGUACUUGGUAGGUAGCUAAUCUUGGAGUACGUUCGUACGCAGAAUAGUAGGCUGGAUGCGCGCGUUCCAGCACAAGAAGUCAAAGCCUAGCUCCUCCCCUGGGGUGCAUGCAUCUGACUUUGAUCCACCGAAAAUUGUUCGAGGACCGUGGAAUCCUUGUACGGUUCCGGUUAAAUUGCCCUCACGCAAGUGGAGUGGACCUGAGUAGCAUGUAUUUUUUUUCAAACCAUGCCAUUUCACUAAGCCAUGCAUGUCCUUUUCUCGGUGCAAUUAACCCAUUCAUGAUUGUUAGUCCCAAUUUAAAUUUCUGUAUUAGACCCUUGGAGUCAGAAUAUAUAGUUAAGAGUGAAUUCCAGCUUCUACCACCUAUUUUGACAUUUUUAACACUAAUUACCCUAUUUAACGGGACUUCAUCUGUUUUAUCCCAUUUAGCAAAAAUUCUGCCUUAAUUUAUCAUGUUUAAAAUUUUAUGAACGUUCUGAUAGAAAGGUAUCAGUUUUCAGAUUCAGCUGGCAUGCCACAUCAAUGAUUUUUUCCAGCCUAUUUUACUUCAUGUUGAACCGGUGCUGGCAGCUUCUCCCAACUAAGGGAGUCCUUGUCUAAGGGGUCCUCAGGCUGUUUGUCUAUUCUCAUGGACCGAACUCCCGGUCAUGUUCGACCGUCACUAGAACUAUCAGAAUCAAGAUGGACUCUUCCGAAGACUUAACGUACGGUCCAAGGCAACGUAGUGAUCGGCAUAAUCCUUCUCUAUUGUAAUCGAUUUUGUGUAAUCCUAUCAUCCCUGGUAUCUAUAUAAACCAGGGGGCCAUAGUUCAUAGGCCAGAUUAAGCUUAUUACGAUUAGGGUUUAGACCACAACAUAUGAUCUCGAGGUAGAUUAACUCUGUACUCUGUACUACUCCAUCAAUACCAACAAAAGCAAGACGUAGGAUUUUACUUGCAUCAAAAGGGCCCGCACCUGGGUAAAACAUCGUCUUAUUCUUCUCUUGUUACCAUCGACCCAAGAUCCAUAGUUCGGACCCCCUACUCGAGAUCAGAUAGUUUUGCUACCAACACCGACCCAUCCAACCCGAUAUGAACGCACCAGAGCAGGUGGUUCGCAUCACCGACCAAUGCAUAAGUCAGUUUUAGAAGGGUGACAUGUAUACACAUGAUCUUCUAAUAAGGAUCUUAAUUCUAUCAGAAUGAAAUGCCUCAUCGGCCAAUGCAUGAGUUACGAAAAUUUCAGAAUAUACAAAUUGCUAUAUACUAAUGCUGAAAGUCAUGUGGAAUAGGGUACGAAUGAGAGGGCCAUAGACCCGCUAUCAACUGAGCACAACCUGAUGGGGUCCUGCCAUGUCACCGAAGUAGAAAGAACAACUGAGCACAUUGUAAUGGUGUCAUGUACAUGCACACGCCCACACCGACGCCGGCGAGCAUGACAGAGCCGUCAGAUCCCAUGGGGUCGUAUGUUUCCUUGAUGUCACGGCCAUACAACCCUACUCGAGCAGGUAAGAAAUCACGCUGCCAUCGCCAUCGCCGUUGCCUGACAAUCCCUAAGCCUAGGUCUGAGCAAGCCUAGCGGGUGCAUGCGGUCCGAAACAUGGACGGACGACGAUUGGAGGCAAGUGUGGCGCGCAGCCGACUCAGGCAUUGUGCGUUGGACGCGAUGCGAGCGACCUCCAUCGGAUCGGACCUAUUCGGGGGAAGCAGCGAUGAUCGGUUCAGCAGAGAGAAAAGAGACAGAAAAAACAGUUGAUGUGACAUAACGCUUGCAAUGUCUUAAACACUGUAAAUCAUGGCAAAACUUUUGCUAAAUAGGAUAAAAGAGAUAAAAUCUCGCUAAAUAGGGUAUUAGUGUCAAAAAUAUUAAAAUAGAGGGUAAAAACCGGAAUUCACUCUUAAAUGAAAAAGAGUUAGUAAGAGGCCCAUAGGGCAGCACAUAGUUUAGCUAAAUAUGUUGAUGAUCCUUCCAUUUGGUGUUGUCAUUGCUAAUGGUGACUAUUGUAACCAAUUAAUAUAAACCACUAGGGUGGCUUCACAAAAGCGGAGUGUUACAUUAGCCAGCGAACUCUUAUUAAAACACUAAUCUCGCUAACGUCGGUGGUCUCAAACGGACGCGGAGAGGCCCUCAUCGCUAGUGGUCGUGAGGAUGCUCUGUGCAUUGCGCACGAAGCAACUGUUGCGACGGAUCUCGCCGACGUUUCCUUGGGGCCCCUGGAGGUUCCCGAGCUUGGUCAUGGAGGCAGCAAACUGGCCGAAGAACCACCAGUGGUUCCCGGCGAAGCCGUUGACCACCCAUUCGGUGCGCCAGUCGGCGGUGAGCUUCUGGUCGGAGGUGAACACCCCCUUGCCCUCUUGCAGGUUGGUGAAGUACUUGUUGUCGAACACGUCCGGGGUGGUCACGUCCAGGUCCUGCAGCCGGUUAAAGUCGGUGGAGCAGUUGGAGGCGAGGCUUCGGACGAAGCCUGAGUCCUCGGAGAAGCGGUUGGAGAAGGAGCUGCAGUGGCCCUUGCCGAUGGUGUGGCCGCCCGAGAGCGCGACCAGGUCCACGUUGUCGAGGUUGCGGGUCUGGAAGACGUCGAUGAGGGUGGCGGCGUUGGAGCUGGCCUGGGGGAGGUUGAAGACGGCCGAGCUCGGGGCCGGCGCGAGGCUGUCGAGCCGGCCGAGCGGCACGUCGUAGCCCUGACCCCCGGAGAAGGCGACGGCGUCACGGGUAGCGAGGGCCGUGAUGUCGGCGCAGGAGACGACGGGACCGCAGGCUGCGUGCACCAUGGCGCGGAUGGACUCGAUGAGCUGCAGCGCCCGUGGCUGCAGCGUCAGGUUCGGUGCCAGUUGCAGCUCGCUGCCAUCUCCCGUUAGAAGGACCGACGCAUCACAACCCUGUACAACCACGAAUGAAAGAGAUGAUGCUCUCUGGACAUUGACAUGAUCUCAAGUAUAUAUUUUGACCAUUAGUCUACUCAUAUGAGCAAGUUUUACAAUUAUAUGUUACAAGUUAAAACAAAUAUGAAAUUUUUCGUGAUGAUCUUUAUGAUACCAUUAUCAUCUUUAAGAAACUAUGUUAGAUCACACUUUAGUUUAAAUGUUUAAUACGAGAGCUAUUCCCAGAACACAAAAUGAGAUCUAGCUAGCUGGAAUGAAUUACCUGAGGGAAGCAGUCGUGGAAGAAGAUGCGGAGGAGGCCGGCGGCGAGGGCGAUCUCGCUCUGGAGCGCGGUCUGCACGGCGGAGCGCACCACGUCCUGUAGCUGCGGGCAGGAGUCGGCGUGGAAGUCGAAGGCGAGCCCUUCGGCGGGGGAGACCGGAGGAAUACUGCCACCGACGUGGUCGGUGGGCAUAGAGAUGAACGCCGAUGACGUCUUGGAGAAGGCUGCCGGGCACAGCACGGCGGCCACGAGGACCAGCAUCGCUGCUGUCCUGCUCGACGCCAUUGAUCCUAGCUAGCUACCUUGAGCACCUCAGUGCCUUCAGUCUGCUAGUGCUACUUUGCUGCUAGCUGCCUGCAAGUGAGCGUGGCUUCCUCACGUCAAUGAGAUGCCCUUAUUUAUACACGAACUAGAUGCGAUCGAUCUAUCGAACGUUUGCCAUCAAAGUCGUCAGAGAAAUUAAGAGGGAGCUAGCAGAGAUCCAAGACGAGAUCGAGUAGGUGGCAAGCUAUACCAGGAUCCAAGUGCACAUGCUUGAUCACGUCCGUGGUGAUGCAGAUUGCUGAGGUCGUGUGCGUACUUGUGCCGACCAAGCUCCCGGAUUCCGUGGUUCCGCUCGUGGCAUGUCAACGAACAGUACGCCCAGAUCGGUAGUUAUAUGCAGAGAUCUAAAAUUCAGGCAAUUACUUCGGAGUAUAAGCUAUGCAAAAAUGGUACAAUUACGGGCUACCUACGCAAUCAACUUGCAUGCCCUCCCACUAACCAAUCACUCCUCCAAGCUAUGACAUGUAGAAGCAUUGCAUAUGGUAGAUAUCAGAAGGACUGGACGCGCUUUGCUGCGCGUUAGAUUAGAAAAACCUAAUCAUUUGAUUUUAAAAUACAAUGUGUAUUACUUUUUAAAAAUGUCAAUUUUUUUUAAAUUUAUUAAAUUUAUUGAUAAUUAUAUAAAAAUCCAUAAUAUCAAAUUAUUAUUAGAUUCAUCAUUAAAUGAAUUAUCAUGUUUUUUAUUUAAUAUUGUGAAUGUCCAUAUAUUUGCUCUCAACUUGGUCAAAGUUGAAGAAUUCGACUUUCCAAAAAACUAAUGCCCCUUAUAUUUUGAAACUAAUAGAAAAUUUCUUUUGAUCUACGGGGGAGAUGACAUAGUGUGUUUUACUUUCAUUUAUAAUUCGAUAAUUUAAUGGACAUAAUAAUUUGAUUUGAAAAACUGUUAGUUUGAUUAGAAAGCAUAAUGUAUUUGUCUAAAGAAUUGUAGAGAGAGUUUUGAGAAAUUGUUGGCCCGGUCAAAAUUGGAUGAUCCAAUUUUAAUUGUUGUCUUUGAAGACCUCAACUGAGUGACUCUUUAAAACUAAGUAUGGUAUUAUAGAGGUAUAAAUAAAAUAAUUAAAUAAAAAAUCUUUGGGAAAUUGUUGACCAGAUCAAAAUUGGGUGCCACAAUGUCAAUUGGAGGCCUCAAUUGAAUGUGGGCUCUCCAAUUCUAGGGAGAUUAAUUAGUGUUAUAGAAUAUUACUACUGGUAAGUUGUGUUCCAAGCAAAUGUGAAAAAACAUCUUAUGUUAUGAUGAACAAUUUGAUGAUCCAUGAAGCGUAAGUGAAUUACGAAUAAAUAUGAUGUGUGGAGGGGGAGAGAAACUAAAAUGUUAAUUAUGAAUAAGUAACAAAUGGGAUUGCCAUUUUGGCACGAGGAAUUGGAUGGUGGUCCGUGUGUUGAUUGGGAGCGGGCAAAUGGAGCUUAACCCAACAGAGUGUAACACACCGAACCAGCGUCCAGAUGCAAAAAUGCUACACCUACGUAAUCUAUUACUUAAGCUUACGUUUCUUUCCUUCUCAACUAAUCAUCUCCCCCCUGAUUUUCAUUGGAUGGGUUUGGGCCUUUUUCCUCUUCCAACCAGAUUAAGCCAAAUCAGCUCUUACGUAACUUCCUUAAGUAGUUUUACGUAGGUGUAGCAAAGCUCCUCCAGAUGCCACACCUCAAACGUGCCCCACCCACCCGCUCCGAGAGUUUCGCGGCCAGGGGAAAGAGUAGUCGUCCCGCGAAACUCACCAAUUAGCUCAUAUAAUCUGCUCAUCAAUUAUUGAGAAUUAACACUACAACUAUACAAUGGUAUUAUCCGAUUGACAUUGGUUGGCAUAAUGAUGUAAAACAUGUCAUUUUGUGACCUACUCGGGAUAAUUGAUUCAUUCAUCUCAUAUGUGUAUGAUGCAAUAGUCAAGACGAGUGAAUUGUACGUGUAUUUUUGGCAGAAAAAAAGGGGUCUAUGUAUAAUUGCCAAAUAUAUGUGAAUCAUCUUAUCAUGCAUGGCAAGAAAGCAAUUCUCCACAUAAUAAACAUUCAGCACCACACGCACUUACCUCGUUAGACUAUAACGUCCCCCGUUCGGACCUAGCUAUGGAAGAGGAUUAUUCAUCUGUGGUUCCUGCACUCAUGGAUACGUAUACUAAAUAUAAAGGUAGUAAAACAUGUUUCUGCAGUUCAGUACAAGUAAAUUAGGAGUGGAAUAAAAAAAACUACAGUAGCUCACAUCUGCUUAAUAACAAAAACAAUGGCAGAUACCAUACAUAUGGUUAAUGAGGCUACAAGUGCAACGGCCGUAGAUAACAAGGGGGAUACCAUACAUAUGUUUGGCGCAAACCACCGCUCUUGGUGAGGAAGUGGCAUCACCGAGGUGAUAUUCGACAAGACAUCUAUAACGUGUAGGUGUAGGUGUAGGAUCCCUGCGUACAAUGGUGUCACCCGUGAUGGUAGGAACGGCCUUAAAACCAAUACUCAGGCUCCUUUUGAUGAGGCUCUGACCGAUUGUAAUGUCAAUCAAGAGAGCAUUGCCCCCAAUACUUUUUAACGGGACGGCUCUUCCGAGGAUAAGAUCUGCUACGUUGUACACUAUCAUGUGGCUCGAGUAAUCGGUGCUGGUACCGACGAGCAAGAUCUGCGAGUCACAUUCUAUUAGUUCAAAAGGGCUGCAGAUCUUUGCCUUGGGACAUAAUAUGGUGAUCACCUUGGGUGGGUGAAACGAAAACGACGACGAAGACCAAGUGAAUCCUGACUUCUUCUCGUGGAGAGGCGGGUCGAUCUGGAAAAUCCAUAGUUCAUCAUCUUUGCUUGAGCCGGGCUUUUGCUGCAGCAUGUAAAAUUUUCCUCGGCAUGAUAUGAUUCUGUUAUCCGGCGAGAAGCUCCAGGCCGAGAAACUCCAUUGCUCAUCCUUGGUGGUAGCAAACAUCACGCGUGACAGACUUAGAUGAACGAUCAUGAGCAUCGGAACCCCUUGAGCGCCGACGCUCAAGGACGCGGCCACCCUGCCUGGCCAAAUAUAAGGACGCUCCAUGCGUGAACUACAGUGGGUUAGUCCCAAGCUCAUUGUGACAUAGGUGAUUGGCGGGAACUUGGCAACGCUCCCCGUGAAGGGGUGAAGUAGGCAAACCUCAUCGUCAUUUUCAUUAUCGUGUUGCCGGCGCCGCUGCAGGAGGAGGAGGCCUUCAACCGGGCAGAGGACCCAAUGUUCGUCGAGAAGAGGGACCCGAGGGCGGAGGAACACUCCGGUGUCGAGGUUGAGGAAACGCUGCCGGCCGUCUUCAAGGUGGAGGCCGUGGCCCUCGGGCAGCAUCAUCCACCGGCGCGGGUGGAAGCGCGGGUCGGCGAUGCCCUUCGCGCGCGGGCAGGGCGUGCUGGACCGAACGUGCGUGCACACGGCGCGGAAGCGGACGUAGCCGAGCAGGUCGUCGCCGGCGAGCACCAGCCAGCCGACGACCUCGACCAAGUCAGCGGGCAACGACGCCAGCGGAGACGCGUUGUCGGCAUCGGUCGGCGGAGGGCGGCAGCAGUUCGCCGGCGAUGACAUCGACGGAUCGGAUCGUCGUUCGGGAUCUUUUUGCCUGCCCUAGCCGCCAGCGGAAGCGAAACGACGACGAAUGAUUCGGGAUGGCCGCUGAGAUGAUGGAGGCUAGUGUUUGUUUGUGCAUGGGCUACCGUAGCUCGUCGGGCUAGCAUACGGCCCAUGUACCCAUUUAUCUCUCUGACGUCGUUGCGUGUAUGAUGGUGGAUACUCCUUUUGUCCCAAAAUAUUUAUCAUAAAAAUGUAUGUAUCUAAAUUAUUUUAGUUAUAUAUAUAUUUAUUUAUUUAUUUUUAUACAUUUAUGUAACAAGUAAUUUCCGACAAAGGGUGUAAUUAUUUUCGCAUUUUUGUACCAGAACUUCUGGCCACCACCGUGUCUCGAUCUCAUAUGCACCCGGAUGAACCAUAAAAUCAGAAAAAAUAGUUAAACAAUUCAAAUAAUUCUGAACUAAUGAUGAAUGUCUCACAUUCAUGCGAAAAUUCGAGAUGAAAUGACAUUCUUUGAAAUCUGGACAGAAACAAUAAAAUCGACGCUUCCAAAAGACCAAUUUUAAAAGCAGUUUGGAACAUGGACCUUUUUUUUUCCAGGCCUCAACUAAUGUCAUUUCAUCACCAAAUUUUACAAGCAACUAAAACAUUCAUCAAUGUUUAUCACAUGGAAAAAUAAAAUUGUUUUUGGAUUUAUCUGCUACUUUUUCAGAUUUUACUAUAUAUUCAACCGGAUGCAUGUGUGCUCAGGAUUAAAAAAGCACUUUCGCCGCCACCAUGGUUUUAUUGAAGAUAACCAUAGGUAGAGUGUGAAUUACCCGUGCGUACCCUCUGCCAAAUGAGGCCACAUGUUCACCAUGUGACUGCUGAAAAUGUGCCAUAGAGGCAAUAAUAAAGUAGUUAUUAUUAUAUUUCCUAGAUAAUGAUAAUUGUCUAUUAUUCAUGCUAUAAUUGUAUUAACCGGAAACCGUAAUUCAUGUGAGAAUAUAUAGAUCACAAUGUGUCCCUAGUGAGCCUCUAGUUGGCUAGCUCGUUGAUCAAUAGAUGAUCAUGGUUUUGUGAUAAUGGACAUUGGAUGUCAUUGAUAACGUGAUCACAUCAUUUAUGAAUGAUGUGAUGGACAAGACCAAUCCUAAGCAUAGCACUAGAUCGUGUUGUUCGUGUGCUAAAGCUUUUCUAAUGUCAAGUAUCAUUUCCUUAGACCAUGAGAUUGUGCAACUCCCGGAUACUGUAGGAGUGCUUUGGGUGUAUCAAAAGUUACAACGUAACUGGAUGAUUAUAAAGGUGCACUACAGGUAUCUCCGAAAAUAUCUGUUGGGUUGUAUGAAUCGAGACUGGAAUUUGUCACUCCGUGUGAUGGAGAGGUAUCUCUAGGCCCACUCUGUAAUUCAUCAUCAUAUUGAGCUCAGUGUGACUAAGGACCCGUUCGGCAACGCUCCAGCUCCUUGCUUCGCAGCCGGAGCCAGCGGAGCUGUCCCAAACAGUCGCGCUCCGCGGAUCGACAAAGAUGGAGGCUCCAUCGAUUAGGCUGAUUUUGCAGAGCUAGCCUGGUCCCGCUCCACGAAGACGAAAAAUCAGGAGCGGCAUGAAAUUACAUGUGGAUGCCACUGAUAAGUAAUAACGAACAGGUACGACGCUGUUGAAUCUCUCUCGUGUCUUUUCUUCCCCGUUCGAGCUCCUCGCCAUGGCGCCCGAACCCUAGACCUCCACGUCGAUCGAAGUGUGUUGCUGUCCGAAUUAAGCUCUCCUCCGCCAAAACUAGACCACGAGACGAAUUUCAAUCCACCCCAGCAAACAUACACCUCUCCACGUGCUAGAUCUGUUUUGAUUUUUUUAGAGAAUUUGGAUCCAUCUUCCUGCUAUUAGCAGGCUGGAUCCACAAGAAAUGGGCCGACAACCCAACUACACAUGAAACAGGGGCACAGAUCGCUACCGAACGGUUCCACGCUCAAGCUAGCGAUCAGGGGAGCGGCUCCUCACUCGCCUGGAGCGGAGCGACCGGAUUAGGAGGAGCGGAGGGCUACUGAACGGGCCCUAAGGAGUUAGCCACGGGAUGAUGUGUUACGGAACGAGUAAAGAGACUUGCCGGUAACGAGAUUGAACAAGGUAUAGGGAUACCGACGAUCGAAUCUCGGACAAGUAUCAUACCGGUAGACAAAGGGAAUUGCAUACAGGAUUGAUUGAAUCCCCAACAUCGUGGUUCAUCUGAUGAAAUCAUCGAGGAACAUGUGGUAACCAACAUGGAUAUCCAAACUCCGAUGUUGAUUAUUGACCGGAGAGGUGUCUCGGUCAUGUCUGCAUGCUUCCCGAACCCGUCGGGUCUACACACUUAAGGUUCGAUGACGCUAGGGUUAUAGGGAAAUAGUGUACGUGGUUACCGAAGGUUGUUCGGAGUCCCGGAUGAGAUCCUGGACGUAACGAGAAGUUCCGGAAUGGUCCACAGGUAAAUAUUCAUAUAUAGGAAGUGAGGAUUUGGUCACCGGAAUUGUUUCGGGUGACACCGGUAAUGUACCGGGACCACCGGAAGGGUUCCUGGGGUCCACCGGCAAGGGCCACCAGCCCCAAGUUGCUACAUGAGUUAAGAGUGGGUGGGAACCAGCCCAUAUGUGGGCUGGUGCGCCUCCACAACUAGCCCAAGGCGCACAAGGGGUGGAGAGAGGGGAAACCCUAGGCGUGGGAGGCCACCUUGGGCCUCAAAUGUUGGAAAUAUGCCCUAGAGGCAAUAAUAAAUUAGUUAUUAUUAUAUUUCUUAGUUCAUGAUAAUCUUUUAUUAUCCAUGCUAUAAUUGUAUUGAUUGGAAACACAAUACUUGUGUGGAUACAUAGACAAAACACUGUCCCUAGUAAGCCUCUAGUUGACUAGCUCGUUGAUCAAAGAUGGUCAAGGUUUCCUGGCCAUAGGCAAGUGUUGUCACUUGAUAACGGGAUCACAUCCUUAGGGGAAUCAUGUGAUGGACUAGACCCAAACUAAUAGACGUAGCAUGUUGAUCGUGUCAUUUUGUUGCUACUGUUUUCUGCGUGUCAAGUAUUUGUUCCUAUGACCAUGAGAUCAUAUAACUUACUAACACCGGAGGAAUACUUUGUGUGUAUCAAACGUCGCAACGUAACUGGGUGACUGUAAAGAUGCUCUACAGGUAUCUCCGAAGGUGUUCGUUAAGUUAGUAUGAAUCGAGACUGGGAUUUGUCACUCCGUGUGACGGAGAGGUAUCUCGGGGCCCACUCGGUAAUACAGCAUCACACACAAGCCUUGCAAGCAAUGUAACUUAGUGUAAGUUGCGGGAUCUUGUAUUACGGAACGAGUAAAGAGACUUGCCGGUAAACGAGAUUGAAAUAGGUAUGCGGAUACUGACGGUCGAAUCUCGGGCAACUAACAUACCGAAGGACAAAGGGAAUGACAUACGGGAUUAUACGAAUCCUUGGCACUGAGGUUCAAACGAUAAGAUCUUCGUAGAAUAUGUAGGAUCCAAUAUGGGCAUCCAGGUCCCGCUAUUGGAUAUUGACCGAGGAGUCUCUCGGGUCAUGUCUACAUAGUUCUCGAACCCGCAGGGUCUGCACACUUAAGGUUCGACGUUGUUUUAUGCGUAUUUGAGUUAUAUGGUUGGUUACCGAAUGUUGUUCGGAGUCCCGGAUGAGAUCACGGACGUCACGAGGGUCUCUGGAAUGGUCCGGAAACGAAGAUUGAUAUAUAGGAUGACCUCAUUUGAUUACCGGAAGGUUUUCGGAGUUACCGGGGAUGUACCGGGAAUGACGAAUGGGUUCCGGGAGUUCACCGGGGGGGGCAACCCACCCCGGGGAAGCCCAUAGGCCUUGGGGGAGACACACCAGCCCUUAGUGGGCUGGUGGGACAGCCCACAAGUGCCCUAUGCGCCAAGGAGAAGAAAAUCAAGAGAGAAAGAAAAAAAAAAGGAGGAGGUGGGAAGGGAGGGGGACUCCCUCCCACCAAACCUAGUCCAACUCGGUUUGGGGGGGGGAGAGUCCUCCCCCUUGGACUCAGCCGACCCCCUUGGGGCUCAAGAGCCCCAAGGCAAGGCCCCCUCCCUCCCACCUAUAUAUACGGAGGUUUUAGGGCUGAUUUGAGACGACUUUUCCACGGCAGCCCGACCACAUACCUCCACGGUUUUUCCUCUAGAUCGCGUUUCUGCGGAGCUCGGGCGGAGCCCUGCUGAGACAAGGUCAUCACCAACCUCCGAAGCGCCGUCACGCUGCCGGAGAACUCUUCUACCUCUCCGUCUCUCUUGCUGGAUCAAGAAGGCCGAGAUCAUCGUCGAGCUGUACGUGUGCUGAACGCGGAGGUGCCGUCCGUUCGGUACUAGAUCGUGUCACUCAUCGCGGGAUUGUUCACGGGGCGGAUCGAGGGACGUGAGGACGUUCCACUACAUCAACCGCGUUCACUAACGCUUCUGCUGUACGAUCUACAAGGGUACGUAGAUCACUCAUCCCAUCUCGUAGAUGGACAUCACCAUGAUAGGUCUUCGUGCCGUAGGAAAAUUUUUGUUUCCCAUGCGACGUUCCCCAACAGUGGCAUCAUGAGCUAGGUUCAUGCGUAGAUGUCUUCUCGAGUAGAACACAAAAGUUUUUUAUGGGCGGUGAUGUGCGUUUUGCUGCCCUCCUUAGUCUUUUCUUGAUUCCGCGGUAUUGUUGGAUUGAAGCGGCUUGGACCGACAUUACUCGUACGCUUACGAGAGACUGGUUUCAUCGUUACGAGUACCCCCCUUUGCUCAAAGAUGACUGGCAAGUGUCGGUUUCUCCAACUUUAGUUGAAUCGGAUUUGACCGAGGAGGUCCUUGGAUGAGGUUAAAUAGCAACUCAUAUAUCUCCGUUGUGGUGUUUGCGUAAGUAAGAUGCGAUCCUACUAGAUACCCUUGGUCACCACGUAAAACAUGCAACAACAAAAUUAGAGGACGUCUAACUUGUUUUUGCAGGGUAUGAUUGUGAUGUGAUAUGGCCAACGAUGUGAUGUGAUAUAGUGGAUGUAUGAGAUGAUCAUGUUGUAAUAGAAAUAUCGACUUGCACGUCGAUGGUACGGCAACCGGCAGGAGCCAUAGGGUUGUCUUUAUACUAACGUUUGUGCUUGCAGAUGCGUUUACUAUUUUGCUAGGAUGUAGCUUUAGUAGUAAUAGCAUAAGUAGCACGACAACCCCGAUGGCAACACGUUGAUGGAUGAUCAUGGUGUGGCGCCAGUGACAAGAAGAUCGUGCCGGUGCUUUGGUGAUGGAGAUCAAGAAGCACGUGAUGAUGGCCAUAUCAUGUCACUUAUGAAUUGCAUGUGAUGUUAAUCCUUUUAUGCACCUUAUUUUGCUUAGAACGGCGGUAGCAUUAUGAGGUGAUCUCUCACUAAAAUUUCAAGACGAAAUUGUGUUCUCCCCGACUAUGCACCGUUGCUACAGUUCGUCGUUUCGAGACACCACGUGAUGAUCGGGUGUGAUAGACUCAACGUUCACAUACAACGGGUGCAAAACAGUUGCGCACGCGGAACACUCGGGUUAAGCUUGACGAGCCUAGCAUGUGCAGACAUGGCCUCGGAACACAUGAGACCGAAAGGUCGAUCAUGAAUCAUAUAGUUGAUAUGAUUAGCAUAGGGAUGCUUACCACUGAAACUAUACUCAACUCACGUGAUGAUCGGACUUGGGAUAGUGUAAGUGGAUCAUGAACCACUCAAAUGACUAGAGAGAUGUACUUUUUGAGUGGGAGUUUAGCAUAUAAUUUGAUUAAGUUGAACUCUAAUUAUCUUGAACAUAGUCUAAGUCCACUUUGAAUAUAUUUGUGUUGUAGAUCAUGGCUCACGCGACAGUCAUCCUGAAUUUUAAUACGUUCCUAGAGAAAGCUAAGUUGAAAGAUGGUGGAAGCAACUUUGUAGACUGGGCUCAUAAUCUUAAGCUAAUCUUACAAGCUGGGAAGAAGGAUUAUGUCCUUAAUGCUGCGCUAGGAGAUGAACCACCCGCUACGGCUGAUCAGGAUGUUAAGAACGCUUGGUUAGCACGUAAGGAGGACUACUCAAUAGUUCAAUGUGCAGUCUUGUAUGGCUUAGAACCGGGACUUCAACGUCACUUUGAGCGUCAUGGAGCAUUUGAGAUGUUCCAGGAGUUGGAGUUUAUCUUUCAGAAGAACGCCCGGAUCGAGAGGUAUGAGACCUCCGAUAAAUUCUAUGCUUGCAAGAUGGAGGAAAACUUGUCUGUCACUGAACAUGUGCUCAAAAUGUCUGGGUACUCAAACCGUCUAGCUGAACUGGGGAUUGAACUCCCGCAAGAAGCUAUCACUGACAGAAUCCUUCAAUCACUGCCGCCAAGCUACAAAGGCUUUGUGUUGAACUACAACAUGCAAGGGAUGAACAAGUCUCCCGGCGAGUUGUUUGCGAUGUUGAAAGUCGCAGAGUCUGAACUCCAUAAAGAGCAUCAAGUGUUGAUGGUGAAUAAGACCACUAGUUUCAAGAGAAACGGCAAAGGCAAGAAGGGCAAUUCGAAGAAGAGCGGCAAGCCUGUUGCCAAUCCGCCGAAGAAACCCAAAGCUGGACCUAAGCCUGAAACGGAGUGUUUCUAUUGCAAGGGUAUGGGUCACUGGAAGCGCAAUUGCCCCAAGUAUCUGGCAGAUAAGAAGGCGGGCAAAGAAAAAUUAGGUAUAUUUGAUAUACAUGUUAUUGAUGUGUACUUAACCGGCUCUCGUAGUAGUACCUCGGUAUUCGAUACCGGUUCUGUUGCUCAUAUUUGCAACUCGAAGCAGGAACUGCGGAAUAGACGAAGGCUGGCGAAAGACGAAGUGACGAUGCGCGUAGGAAAUGGUUCGAAGGUUGAUGCAAUCGCCGUCGGCACGGUGUCACUUCAGCUACCAUCGGGAUUAGUGAUGAACUUAAAUCAUUGUUAUUUAGUGCCUGCGUUGAGCAUGAACAUUAUAUCUGGAUCUUGUUUAUUGCGAGACGGUUACUCUUUUAAGUCUGAGAAUAAUGGUUGUUCUAUUUCUAUGAGUAACAUCUUUUAUGGUCAUGCACCGAAUGUGAGAGGAUUGUUCAUAUUGAAUCUUGAUAGCAAUACACAUAUACAUAACAUUGAGACCAAAAGAGUUAGAGUAAACAAUGAUAGCGCCAUAUUUUUUUGGCACUACCGCUUGGGUCAUAUUGGUGUAAAGCGCAUGAAGAAACUCCAUGCUGAUGGACUUUUGGAGUCACUUGACUUUGAUUCACUUGACACGUGCGAACCAUGCCUCAUGGGCAAGAUGACUAAGACUCCGUUCUCCGGAACAAUGGAGCGUGCAAGUGACUUAUUGGAAAUCAUACAUACCGAUAUGUGUGGUCCAAUGAGCGUGGAGGCACGCGGCGGAUAUCGUUAUUUUCUCACCUUCACUGACGAUUUAAGUAGAUAUGGUUAUGUCUACUUGAUGAAGCACAAGUCUGAAACAUUUGAAAAGUUCAAGCAAUUUCAGAGUGAAGUGGAAAAUCAUCGUAACAAGAAGAUCAAGUUCCUACGUUCUGAUCGUGGGGGUGAAUAUCUGAGUUUCGAGUUUGGUGCUCACUUAAGACAAUGUGGAAUUGUUUCACAGUUAACACCGCCUCGAACACCAUAGCGUAAUGGUGUGUCCGAACGUCGUAAUCGUACUUUGUUAGAGAUGGUGCGAUCUAUGAUGUCUCUUACUGAUUUGCCCUUAUCAUUUUGGGGUUAUGCAUUAGAAACAGCUGCAUUCAC